RNAcentral lists this long non-coding RNA (76026 nucleotides) under Gossypium barbadense (sea-island cotton). Its description in RNAcentral is "long non-coding RNA (GBAR_LNC018925)". The record is from RNAcentral. Lineage: Eukaryota; Viridiplantae; Streptophyta; Magnoliopsida; Malvales; Malvaceae.
CGAUCUCCACUAUCAUGAAAUACCGAGGUAAGUUUUUUUUUUUGAAUUCGUUGUUUUUGCUUAUGAUUUUUUGUUUAUUUUGAUUAAUCGGAAUCGGUUUUUGCUUGAUUUUUAAUAAUUAUUGACUAAUUCUCAACUUCGGUUGUAACACUGAAAAAAUUAUGAAAUUUGUUCUUUUUUCUUCUUAAAUUUGUUAUUUACUGCACAGAAUUAUUAACUUAGUGUCAUUUGAUAUAGAUUUUUAUAAAUUGACAUUUUAAUAAUUUCCAUUAUAUAAAUUUUGAUAUAUUUAUGAUUUGUGUUGUGUUCAUGAUAUUUUUUUUUUGAAAUAAUCAUAUUAAACAAUAAUCAUAGUAUCAUCUUCCCCAUAUAUAAAAUUUUAGAAAAAAAAAUGCUUAUUUAGACAAAUACCUGUAUUUACCAUCAUCUCUGAUUCCGAGUAUAAUAUUUUGCCUAUUUUUUCAUCAAUAUUAUGUGGAUGCAAAUUCUCAGAAGUUUCGAAUAGCUAUGUUACUCGUGUAAGUCUUAGAUGUAGUUAUGUGUUCAACACUGGUAUAUUCAAAAUUUUUCGAGGUUUUUCAUUUAUUUGAAAGGUUCUUAGAAGUUCAUCUCUUCGUGCCAGAAUUCAAAAAUCCAACUUAAAUAGUUAUUUUAAGAAGAAUAAAGAGUUGAAAGAACAUAGUUAUGGACUAAGGGUCUAAGAUGUUGAAUGUUUAGACUUGUGGCUACUGCCUGCUACCAGACGAUGGAUCCGUUGCUUGUUUUUCGGUCAUUAACUUGUUUGUAUUUCUUCUUUUAGGAAGGAUACAUCAGGAACUUUGAGCUUUUCGAUCCGCAUAGAGUUGGGAAGAUCACAGUUGAACUACAAGGCAGGGUAAACGAUUGCCGAGUACUCACUUACCGGCAGGACAUCAAAGUGAAGGAUAUCCAGAAGUACACAACAUUUAAACUUCCAACUCGGCAGGUAUGUUCAUUCAUUGCCUAUUAUAUAGAAGGUGCUGGCCGGCUUGGUAUAGGAUAUGCAAAUGUACCUGGUUAUGUCUACUGAAUUCUUCCCAAACUUAUGUUGUUUUUCGAUAAUCUUUAUCCUGUGCAGUGGGGUCAUGUUGUGAUUUCAACUCCUGAUGGUAUUUUGGAUCAUGAAGAAGCCAUUAGAAGGAAUGUGGGUGGGCAGGUUAUUGGUUAUUUUCAUUAGACUUCAUUUUUUAUGCGCACUUUCAGAUAGAAAAAGGGGAAGAAUAGUUGUUCAGGGUCAGGUUUAUCCAAUAACUAUCUGAAGUUUUCAUUGAAUAUCGAUCACUAGAACAUAACAUAAGCAAUGUUCAGAAUCAUUUUUUUUAAUAACAAUCUAGUAUUCUUUAUUGUGAUGCUUUGAUUUAUUAUUGCAAGAUCAUAGUAAUGAUACUGCAGGAUAGUUUUCUUAGAAGCUAAGAAAUCAUCAACGAAUUCGCCUGCAGAUGGUCAACCCAUCACCCGACGGAGUGAGAGCAAUUUCGAUGCGUUGAUCGAUUGAAACCGAGUUGUUAAACUCUAUGAUUGACCUCCUUGAUUCCUUUCUAUCUUCUGAAACCGCCUCUUCGGGUUGAGCCACCGUGCCUCCCCAAAGCGUGUUGUCAAAGACGAUUAAUCCGCCAACUUUCACCAGUUUCAGAAGCCUCUCGUGGUAAUUCAGGUAAUUUUCUUUAUCCGCAUCGACAAAUGCAAAGUCAAAAAUCCCUUCAUUAUCUUUCUGCUGAAACGAAACAUAUGAAGAUGAGUUCAAUUGAUUGAACUUGAAGAAUCCGUAAAAAAAAAAACAGAAAUGGAGAUAAACCAGGGUAUUUAGUGCUUAAAUUUUGAAGAAGCUUGUCCAGAACUGGUAAAGCUUGGGAUUCAAUGAAGUUGAUUUUGUGUUCCACACCUGCUUUUUGGAUAAUGGGAAGGCCUAUCUCAUAUGUUUCCUUGUUUGGAUCUAUGGCUAUUAUCUGAAAAUAUGAGUUUAAUGAACAAAAAGUAGAUUAUGGUAAAUAAACUUGAGAAAUAUUUCAACUUUUGGUCUAUGUAUAUAUAUGUUUGUGUAUGUGUGUGUUUUGAGGGAAUAAAGCCUUUUUUGGGAGAAGUUUGCUUAAUGUCAUCCAUUCAUUCAGAGCCAGCAGAACCCUCAGCAUGUUUCGUAUGUCUUUGGUGGGGGUUUUAUAUCAUGACUCUACUGAGAGCUCUGAUGUUUGAAGAGAUGCUAGUGAUAGGUUCAGAGAGCAAAAGUUCCUUGUUGGAUGCUUCUUUAGGUACUCAAGCUCUCGAUAUAGUUGGGAGACAAAACUUACCAUUGAGGACAAUAUUGACCCAUUGAGGAGUCUGUUGGGAGUUUGAUAUUUCUAAAGAGAACAUUUUAAUGAAUUAUAUUUUGAAAAUGAAAUUAUUUUAUUUUAAACAGUUUUCACUUAUUGAAAAAUAUUUUUAUAUCAUUAAAAAAUCAAUAAAAUUUAUCUUUGGUUCGUUUCGAAAAAUCAUUAAUAUUUUUUUAUAACUUAUGAAUCGAUAACCGAUGGGAAUAAAUACCAUGGCAUCAUGAGGGAUUGAAAGAGCAGUGAGGAGAAGAGAAUAGCCAGUGUAAACACCAAUUUCAAUCGUCUUCUUUGCAUUAAUUAGCUUAAGUAACAUCCCCAUUAUUUGACCUGAAUCUGGUGCUGUGCUCAUUAAAUUCCUGCUUAAAUCGAGUUAGAAGAGAGUAAUCGGUCCGUUGAAUUAAAAAAUCAAUUUGAUCGAUAAAUUUUACAUUUUAAUCUAUUAAUUGAUUGGUUUAAGUAAUCGAAUUAACAUCAAUCAAACUUUGGUUGACGUUAAAUCGAUUUUGUUUUUCAUUUGUCACAAAUUAAAUGAAGCCAAGGACACUUUUACCAUGGAUGCUUUGCAGUAACUUCUCGGAGCUCCUUUAGAGGUGAUGGUUCCCUAGGGUAGACGUUGGUCUUCAAGAUAUACUGUUUCAAAACUUGUCCAGUUAAAAAAACAAUUCCGAACGAUGAUCUAUAUUUUGUUUGAAUUAUUCAUUUCAUAUUAAAUUUAUGAUUUUUUUAAAUUAAAAAAAACCUUAAAAUUUUAUUAUCUAGGGAAGUUGACUCUUUCAGAAAAAGUUCAUAAAAUGGCGUUCUUUCAAAAUUGUUGGACCUUUCAAUAAGUUUGCAUUGUCUUGGUCUUAGUUUUGUCGCCCAAUUCUAAAAAGAACUCGAGUGCUUGAGGCAAUGAGUUCAACCAAAUAGGAAUACCUUGUCAAGACAGAUCUUGCUUGACAUUUAUACUUGGAAGGAUUUGAGCUUCCGCUCUGCAGCAUAUAAGGUUCGUGCAUGUCACAAUGCUCAAAAUAAUUCUAAACUCUGAUAGGAAGCAUGGUUGUCUAUAAAUGUCUUAUAUGCUGUAAGAGACAAACUCGAUCAAAGACAACAUUGACUCAUUAAAAGUUUAUCAGCUUUGGACGAACGAAGCAUAUUUCUUUCAUGAAAGUCAACCGUCCCUUCACGUUUAUAUAAUUCAGUUUCAAUUUUUCCUUCUAAAUUUUAUUAUAUAUGUUGAGAUAUGUACAUUUAAUCUAUACAUUUAUUUUAAAGUUAAAAUUAAUAAUACAUAUUUUAAUAAAAAUAUUUAUUAUAUAUAAAAAAUUAAUUGAUCGAUUUAAUCCGCUAAUUAAAGGUAUUGCUAAUAGCCUCCAAUUCAAUUAUUUAAACCUUACAAAAACUUAAUUAUAUUUUCGUUAUUUAGGAGAUUCAAAUUCCGUUAUGUAUAAUUUCUAUCUCUAAAUUACAAUAUAUUUAGUAAAAGGGAAAAAAUAAUGAAAAAUAAAAUACCUUAGUUAACUCAAAACUCUGCAACAACCCGUUAUGGAGAAAUGGUUCGGCUGUUGUAAAUUCCAUACUUUUCAAAUAUAUGCUUGAGAAACAAAUAAUGCAAAGCCCGGUUGAAAUAUAUAUGUAUAUAUAUAUAUGUAUAUAUAUAUUAUGAAUUAAGUUCACACCAAGUUGAUGAUGUCUUUUAAUAAUCCAUAUUAGUCGUGUACUACUGUAUGAUUUAAAUGAUAUAAUUUAAUCCUUAAAUUUGAUAAUUUUUUUAAUUUCGAUUUAUAUGAUGACUGUCAUAUUAUAAGAUUGUACCACAUUAUAAUUAAAUUUUAAAACAAGGUUAUACUCUUUUAGAUGAUGGUGUGGCACAGUAUGAUAUUAGGUAAAAAUUUUGAGAAAAACUACUAAGUUUCUCGAUUAACAUGGGUAAAAAAGAAUCAAUGACUAAAUUAGGUAAAUAUGCCACAUUCUGGAAUAAAAUAUUAUUUUAUUUGGACUUAAAUUAUUAAAUGUAUCAAAAUUUUAAUCUUUGAAUUUGACUUUAAUAUUUAAUUUGAUACCUGAUGCCAUUUGAUUAGGAUAUCGAAUCAAAUAAAAUAUAUACCCUAAUUUUAAAUGGAAAUAUGAAUUAUGAAGCUAAAUUUAUUUAUUAUUUACUAAACGUUUCGUAUUUGUAUUGUGUCGAAAUUUAUUAGGAAUUCCAGGAACUCACGAACUUUAAAUUCUGCUUAAUUAUUUAAUUAAUCAAGCAAAAAAAAAUUAUUUUACAAAUUAGAGAGAUGUUUUAUUUUUUUUUCAUUUUAAAUAAGAAAUUUCACUGACCAUAGAUAAAAUAAUUUAUAUUUGAAGUUUAUACAGAAAAAAAAAAAGGGAUCACAACAUCCAGAUCAUCCUCACAAGACAAUAAUACAAAAGCUACAACAUAAUCCAACAGCAGCCUCCAAGUGAAUACAUAAUCAUGUUAUUGUUAAGUUAAUCCUUCGGCUCCGGCACUCACCGAAACAUAUAAAACGGUGACUCCCGGUCGAUCAAUGCUCGGGCCAACCUGCCUCGACCUAUUGGUGCUGCCAACACCUUCCAUUUCCCUUGACUAGUCUCCGGCAGGACGAACGAUUGCGGGUUGGUGCUCCACAAAUGGAUGUACCCGUACUGUCAUUGUUCGAGUUUCGCGGAGUAAAAUCAUUGCUGCUGCUGCUGCGGCAGCCACUAUAUUUUAAGUGCUGCCAACACCUUCCAUUUACAUUACCUGUUCUCUUGCAGGGAGUACCAUUGCAGGUAGGUCGAAAGCAUGGGAUGGUCCGAAAACAAGAGUGGGAAUCGUCAUCCCUGUAUGAUUUUCAUAAAAGACUGAAGCUUUUUCAUCAGAAUAUGAAUUGAAAACAGCAUAUGGCAUUGUUUGAUAUCUUGUUAUCACGGAAUCGGAGCUAUAAAUUCUCCUCCCUUUAUGCAAAUCACAUCUUUUUCUCCCGGGAACAGGUUGCCUUCUACAAACAGAACCAUCAUCCAUGGCAACCCCACAAAUAGGGCUACAAUGCUCGAUUUCAGGAUAGUCCUCUUUAUGCGGUUGUGAUUUCAUACUCGACCUUGUGGAAGACCCUGUAGUUUUCUUUCCCUUGUGUUCAGAGCAUCGUUUUCUUCCUUCAACCGGUGGCCUUUUAGAAAUCGAACCAUCGUCUAAAACCACCCCACAAGAGAAGGUUUCGUUCUCGUCGGAGCCACCGUGAUUCAAAACCAACCGAGGCCGGGAUCUGCUGAAGUUGAAAACUUGAAGCAAAAAGUUGUGGUUCUCUCCAUUUUUGUAUUUGCCAAACUCAUUGUCGUCCGAAACUAGCUUGCUUGCUUUGAUUUUGAUGCCUACUUGCUUUUGAAGGGAGGGCAGAUGCUUUUUGGAGAAAUUGGCUAAUUUCGUAAGAUUUGAUGCACGCUUAUCUAGUUUUUCAAGGAUAUCAUCGUGACGACGUACACCGUUCGAGCCUUUAUUCCAUGCAUAAUCGUAAGUACGGAGAAGCUCAUCUUCAGUUCUCCGAGCAUCUGCCUUGUUUUCCAUCUAUUUAACAUGGGAAAGUAAAAUAACAUUAGGAAUUAGAUUAAAAACCAAAUUUUGGAUGCAAGGAUGAACAUGUAAUAAGAACAUUGAUGAAAAAGUGCAUUUUCACAGCUUGGCCUUCAAAAACCAUAUCAUCUGCAAUUCAUUCAAGACUAAGAGCUCAUAACAGUAUAAAGAAUAUAUAUAUAUAUAUAUCAAGCUAAGCAAUAAAAAUCGAAAAUCUAAAAACCAAUGCAAACCAAAAUGUUUAAACGAUUUAUAAAAUAUAAAUUAAAAAAUCACAGUUAUAACAACAGUUAUUUAAUUUACAAUUAAUUUUAAUUUUAAAUAUUUUAUAUUUAAAUAAUAAAAUAAUUUAAAAACUUUAUAAACUUCAUGUAACUAUUAUUGAUUAUUUUUAUUUACUUAAUUUAAAAAGUUAUUUAUGAAACACUUUUUUGAAAUUCUAUAAAAUAAUGUCCAAAUGCAAUAAAACAAAGCUUGCCAAAAUAAAUCCAAAAAAUAAAAAUAAAAAAUCAAAUAUUUAAAAAAUUUAGGAAAAAAUUUCGACUAAAUCAAACUCGAUACUACAUAGAGAUAUAUAUACAUGGUUUUUGAAACUGAUCAAACUGGAUCCAAGUUCGAUUUAAUAAAUUAUUUUAAAAAUUAUAAAAGUUAAAAAAUAUUAAAAAUAUAAAAUAAAUUCUAACCCUCCAUUCAACUGAUUUUUAUCUCGACUGAGUAAAACCGAAACCUCUUUUUCCGAGCUGAUUUUCAAUCUUACCGGGUAAUCCUGUACAGUUCCAACAAACGAUACCAAUAAAGCUGGAAAGUAGAAAAACAUAUACUCACAGGAGCCCAUCUGUAGGUAAUAGAGUAACCCCUUGCAAAAAUAUCAAACAAAGGACAUCCAUUUUCACCAAAUCCAUUUUUUCCACAGAGAUGAGUACCAUCACGGCCAUGUUGUUGGAGUCUUGCUCUUAUAUUUUCAGCCUUCCCAAGAUAAACCACCAAAUCAGGUUCAAGCUUGCCAUGGCGGUCCCUACUAGGCAGUUUACACACCGCAAGCUCAUAGAUUCCUGUACCUGAAGAUUUUGGAAGAUUUUCAAGCCUGUAUCUGGUCACCGCUCCUCCUUCCCCAUUUUUCCAGUCAUGAGGACCAACAAGAAGCUAAACAAAUGAAAAAAAACCAAAAAGAAGAUCAGAUUAAGGUUUAUAAAUCAAAUUUAAACUGGGUAUAGAUGAUCUUUUUCAGCAAAAUCAAAAGCAUGAUUAAAGUUGGAUUAAGGCAGAUUAAAAAACCUUCCAUUCGGAGAAGUGGGAAUCGUGGUCGGUCUUCUUGUGAUCUUCUCUGUUCGAUCUGUCGACGUGAACGGCCAAUAAUUGCAUUGGAAUCUCAUCUUCUUCACUAUAAGCACCAUUAUGCAAAUGUCUCUGAUUGCACCACUUUAUGGAAGGGCAUUUCUUAUUUAUAAUAAGGUUGAAAUUGCCUUCUUUCUUUUUAAUUUUAUUUAUUUUUUACUUUAGACUUAAUUCGUUUUAUUUUAUUAUUUUAAUACUUAAAUUUUAAAAUUUUCAAAAUAAGAUUUCACUAUAUUUCAUAAAAAUUUAAAAUUUAAAAUUGUAAUAAAUUUUUAAAAAAUUAUCCAUAUUGUCAAUAAAGUAGGUAUAAAUUAUCAUGACAAUGUCAUUAUUUUUAACAAGUCUAUAUUUAGAUUAAAACAGUUUAACUAAAAUUUAAAAAUUAAUAAUUUUAUUUAAAUACAAAAAAUUUAACUAAAUUUUAAAGAUUAAAUGACAACAAAAAAUUAAUUUAUCAUCUUACCUUUAUGUUUUGUCCAUGCCUUCUCCAUCUUUCCCUUAUCUUACUAGUGAAAUAUUUUAAUCCUUAAUACUUAAGUUACAAGUAGUCUCCCGACAGCCGACAGUCAAUCAUUAAAGUGAUAAAUUAUUUGUACGUUGAUGAUAUGAUAGAUUAAGACUCGUGUCAUGAUGUGAUUCGACGGAGUGAAUUUUAGCGUCCUUCGUAAGCUGCCCUCUUGUAGUCUUGUCUUCUUUUACGUGUGAAAAUGAGUUUUUUUUUCUUAAAUGUAAUAAUUUAUUAUACUCAACAUAUUAAAAAAAAUUAUAUACCGAAAUAAGUUAUUAAAUAGAUUAAUUAUCGAAAUGAUAUAUUUUUUAUAACCGUGCCAAUCUGACAGGAGCAAAUUAAUUUUUAUAUUAAUUUUUUUUAAAAAAAUAUUUUUUAUUUUUAAAUACGGUCAACGGGUCAAAAUACAGGUAAAAAUCGAGUCAUUCCAGUCAAAUAGGUGCGAUUAGUCGCUCCUGACAGGUAGGCGCGGAUGGUCCUGCAUAAAUUUAUCUGUAUAGUUGCUGUUAACUCAUUUUAUUUUUUUAUGUCAACUUGGAUAUCAAUUUGUCCAAGUUUAAUAAUAACUGACUCUUUUUAUAAAUUUAUUGAAGAAUAUAAAUCAAUUAUUAACAUACAAAUACUUAACAGUAAUUUAAAAAAAUUUAAAAAUUUAUAAUAACACAUUAAUAGUCUCAAUUAAAAGCGUUUCCCAAAAUUCAUAAUUAAGAUUCUUAUUUUGAGCAAUAGAAAUAGAGUUUUGGCUAUGUGAAAAAAUAUGGGAUAUGGAUAUUUUUAAAUAAUGUAAUUUUGUAUAAUGUAAUUUUUAUAUAAUGUAAUUUUAUUUGAUUUUUUAUUUAUUUAACAAUUUUUAUUGAUUUAUUAAAAUGUUGAUUAAAUUUGUUGUUAUAUAAUUUUAUAGGUUGUUUGAAAUAAACUACUCGGGUAUGUAUUUAUUUCUAUUUUUAUUUUUUAAUUCGUAUGUUUUUAUGUUUAGAUAGUUUAUAUUAAUUUUAAUUAUAUUAUUAUUGUAAUCUAAUAUAAAUUUUUUAUUUUAGGUAAAUUAUGAGGAAUUAUUAGAUAUUUACCGUGUUUUGUUUCUGAAAUUUGAAAUAAUUUAUUGUAUUUAUUGAAACAAAUUAAAUGAAUUUAUUUUUUUAAUUGCAGAUUUGCAGUAAAUGGGUUCUUUGAAUAAUAAUAAUAAUCACAUAUCAAGUACUAUUAAUGAGAUGGUAAUAAAAUUUUUAUUUGAUACUCAUUUUAUUUGUUGAAUUAAAUUAUAUUGUAUUAACUAUUUUGCUAAUUUAAUAAUGUCAGGGUUCGUAUCGCGUAUUGAGGGGCCGUGUUAAUAGUUUAGGGUUUCUGCCAGAUGAACGCAUAAUACCAUACUUAGAGUUGGUCGGGUUCAGAUCAGCGGCAUUAAUCCAGACUUUUGAUCUGCGAUACGACUUGAUUUCUGCUUUAGUCGAGCGAUAGUGUCCGAAGACCCACACAUUUCAUUUGCCGUGCGGAGAGUGUACUGCCACUCUAGUCGGGGGUAUAUAUAGGGGGAAAUUAAGCAGCAGUGGGUCCCACCAGUCGCGCCUGUCAGAUAGGCUCAACUAGUCGUGCCUCUGAGAUCGGCUCAACUAGUCGCGCCUAUCAAAUAGCCACAACCUGUAUUUCGUAUCUAUACCCAGGUUAUAUACUGAUCCGAGAAAUAAAAAAUUAAUAUUUUUUUUAAAAAAAUUUAAUAUAAAAAAUUAAUUCGCACCUGUCAGAUAGGCGCGAUUAAAAAAGCCAUACCAUUUCGGUAAUUAAUCUAUCUGACAACUUAUUUCGGUAUUUAAUUUUUUUAAUAUAUUUGGGUAAAAAACCCUAUAGAAUACUUGUUAAAUUCUUAACUCUGUCUAUAAAAUUUAAAAAUUCUAUUAUACCAAAUAUUUUCCCUCAUAUUUAUCAUUUAUUAUUUUUUAAUAAUUAUUAAUUUUAUAUAAUUAACGUAAGCAAUCGUACCUAAAAGAUAAGUAAAAUAUUUAAAAUAUUCUAAAAAAAAGUAUUAGUAUAAUGUUUAAAAAAUAAAAAUGUUAUAAAUUAAUAAAGAAACAUUUUUCCAUGUAUUUUUUUAUUAACUUUUUUCCCUAUAUUCUUGGCCUCUUUAAAUAUUAAAUACCAUGAAAAUUAACACUAUAUUACAGAAUACCUUUCUCAAUAUUUUCACUAUGUGAAACAAAAUUUUAUUUUACUUACACUUGCAAUUUGUGGGAAAAAAAAAAAAAAGCAACAAAUAAACGAAUCAAUUAAAGUGGGAAAAUUACCUUAUAAAUGGAGGCUAUUACACAAAGCUCAUCUAACCAAAUAUCAGAAUGGCAAUGCGGCAUCGGAGGACAGGGAGAAUCGUAUUUUAUAUCGCUGUUCAUACGUCGUUGUCAGCUGUUCCCCGAUCGGUCUUUGCUUAGUCAGAAAUUUGUAUAGAUUCGCAUAUCGUAUGAACAGCUUAGCAACUCGAAAAGAACCUGUUCGCUCAAUCGACUUGCUUUUUUGCACUUAUGCACCUGUCCUCCAGAGUCUCCUCCAGAGUAUAAGAACCUCAUCAGCUAAAAGGCUGAAAUUGGCAAAAAAAAUUGGGGUUCAUGUAUUUAUUUUUUCAAUAUCAUGAAUCAUGAGAGCCUUGGACCAUCAAAGUAAUAGGCUUCGCACUGUCCGCCCGAAGACUAUCUCCUUUCAAACCAAUCUGGGAGGAGAAUCAUAUUCAACAUAACCUCAAAAGACUUGUUCCGAUAAAAAUCACGAAACAACAAUUUAAAAACAGAUGAUGCAACCCUCUGUUCGGUGAUUUGCUAUCAGAAGAGUUAUAUGAUUAUUCUACAAAGUUUGUAUUCAAAGGCAGAUUGAUUACCUCAGGACUAUCAGCUGGGAACCACCGUAAUAGUACACCAAGACGAACAACAGCUGGAAUCAGCUUGAAAAGCAAUGGAGUAGUCACCUGCAUGGUAAUUUUAUGAGUAAAAUCUGAACCUUGAGAGCUAACUAUGAAAGAACUUUCAGAAAUUGGCAGUAAAAGUACCAUGAAGGCCACUGUAGUGAGAGUCGGGUUGCAUUUUUUCUCCUCCACCCGGAAAAUGAGCGUUUUUGUACAUUAGAUCAAAGAGUAAAUUAGUCAUUCUAUUAAAAUUCCAUCCAUUUAUAUUAUUAACAAAAAUGACUAAUUUGUUCUUUGAUCUAACAUAUAGAAAUUAAUUUACCUUUUUUUGAGUAAAAGAGGCAAAAUAUAGUUUGACUCGUAAUACAGAACCUCCAUAGUAUUUUUACCUGAUUUUGGCUAAUUACAUUUACCUAAGGAAUUUAAUAGUAAAAGUUUCCAUUCUGAUCGGCUAAAUUGAUUUAUUAUUUACUAAACGUUUCGUAUUUGUAUUGUGUCGAAAUUUAUUAGGAACUUCAGGAACUCACAAACUUUACAUUCUGCUUAAUUAUUUAAUUAAUCAAGCAAAAAAAAUUAUUUUACAAAUUAGAGAGAUGUUUUAUCUUUUUCAUUUUAAAUAAAAAUUUUCACUGACUAUAGAUAAAAUAAUUUAUAUUUGUAGUUUAUACAGAAAAAAAAAAGGAUUCACAACAUCCAGAUCAUCCUCAAAAGACAAUAAUACAAAAGCUACAACAUAAUCCAACAGCAGCCUCCAAGUGAAUACAUAAUCAUGUUAUUGUUAAGUUAAUCCUUCGGCUCCAGAACUCACCGAAACAUAUAAAACGGUGACUCUCGAUCGAUCAAUGCUCGGGCCAACCUGCCUCGACCUAUCGGUGCUGCCAACACCUUCCAUUUCCCUUGACUGGUCUCCGGCAGGACGAACGAUUGCGGGUUGGUGCUCCACAAAUGGAUGUACCCUUACUGUCAUUAUUCGAGUUUCGCGGAGUAAAAUCAUUGCUGCUGCUGCGGCUGCCACUAUAUUUUAAGUGCUGCCAACACCUUCCAUUUCCAUUACCUGUUCUCUUGCAGGGAGUACCAUUGCAGGUAGGUACUCCACAAAUGGGUAGACUACAAUUGCUGCUGUUGAGACUUGAAUUCCAGUCGAAAACAUGGGAUGGACUCGUUUCGUCUAAUCCGGAAACAAGAGUGGUAAUCGUCAUCCCCGUAUGAUUUUCAUAAAAAACUGAAGCUUCUUCAUCAGAAUAUGAAUUGAAAACAGCAUAUGGCAUUGUUUGAAAUCUUGUUAUCUCGGAAUCGGAGCUAUAAAUUCUCCUCCCUUUAUGCAAAUCACAUCUUUUUCUCCCGGAAACGGGUUGCCUUCUACAAAGAGAACCAUCAUCCAUGGCAACCCCACAAAUAGGACUACAAUGCUCGAUUUCGGGAUAGUCCUCUUUAUGCGUUUGUGAUUUCAUACUCAACCUCAUGGAAGACCCUGUAGUUUUCUUUCCCUUGUGUUCAGCGCAUCGUUUUCUUCCUUCAACCGGCGGCCUUUUACAAAUCGAACCAUCAUCUAAAACCACCCCACAAGAGAAGGUUUCGUUCUCGUUGGAGCCACCGUGAUUCGAAACCAACCGAGGCCGGGAUCUGCUGAAGUUGAAAACUAGAAGCAAAAAGUUGUGGUUCUCUCCAUUUUUGUAUUUGCCAAACUCAUUGUCGUCCGAAACUAGCUUGCUUGCUUUGAUUUUGAUGCCUACUUGCUUUUGAAGGAAUGGCAGAUGUUUUUUGGAGAAAUUGGCUAAUUUCAUAAGAUUUGAUGCAUGCUUAUCUAGUUUUUGAAGGAUAUCAUCGUGACGACGUACACCGUUUGAGCCUUUAUUCCAUGCAUAAUCAAAAGUAGUGAGAAGCUGAGCUUCAGUUCUCCGAGCAUCUGCCUUGUUUUCCAUCUAUUUAACAUGGGAAAGUAAAAUAACAUUAGGAAUUAGAUUAAAAACCAAAUUUUGGAUACAAGGAUGAACAUGUAAUAAGAACAUUGAUGAAAAAGUGCAUUUUCAAAGCUUCUUGGCCUUCAAAAACCAUAUCAUCUGCAAUUCAUUCAAGACUAAGAGCUUAUAACAGUAUGAAGAAUAUAUAUAUAUUAGUUCACCAUUUGUGAAAUUGGCCUUAACACGUAUAGGCUUUCAUUGUUAUGUUCCUUGGACUCUUAAUUUUUCUUGAAGUAUCCGACACUCUUGUCUAACACAUGGAUAUGGGGAUAUGACCUCCAAAGAUCCUCCAAAUACAUGAAAAAACAUUAAAAAGACUAAUCAUAUUCGUGAGGGAUACAUAUCCAUAUCUGACAAUCACACCCGAGUCCGAGUAACAUAGGUUCUUGGAACACAUUUUUCCCUAUGAUUCUUACCAUUUUCACCCUCCUAAGCAUAAACAUUAACAGUUAUUAAGUGCUUAAAUAAUACAACUAAUCAAUUAAAGCCAGUAAAGGGCCGUUGUAGCAUAAUCAGCAAACAUUAGGAAAGCUUCAAAAUCUUAUAUAUAUGAACUAGAAGAUCAAACAUCACCAGAACUCCUUCACUAUGUAUGAUACUAAUCAAAUUACAAUUUCAUUUCAAAUUUUAAACUUUCUCAAAUUUCCGUUCAAACUUUCAUAUGAUACUAAUCAAGUUAAAAAAUUAGCCAAAAAACUUCAAAAUAUUAUAUAUUAUGUGUGUGUGUAUAUAUAUAUAUAUGAACUAGAAGAUCAAUAAAACAUCACUAGCACUUCAUCACUAUGCAUGAAUUAUGAACUUAACCAUUGUUAUAUUUUACUACUAAAAUCUACACCUGAACCUCAUAUAAAUUACAGUUUUAUUCCAAGUUCAAAACUUCUCAAAUAGGUUCCAUUCAAACUCUCAUAUGAUAUCAAUCAAGUUAAAUUUAGCAAAAGAAACAUCAAAAUAUUAUAUAUAUAUAUAUAUAUGAACUAGUAGAUCAAUAAAAACAUCACUAUCACUCCACUAAGUAUGAAUUAUGACUGCUAAAAUCUACAUUUGAUAUAAUUUACAGAUUCAUUUCAAAUUCAAAACUUCUUAAAUAGGCUCCAUUCAAACUCUUAUAUGAUACCAAUCAAGUUAAAAUUAGCAAAAGAAACUCCAAAAUAUUAUCAAGUCAAAAUUUAACCAGAACUCCUUCACUAUGCAUGAACUAUGAACUUACCAUUGUUAUGGUUUACUACUAAAAUCUACACCUGAUAUAAAUUACAGUUUAAUUUCAAAUUCAAAACUUCUCAAAUAGUUUCCUUUCACUAAUAUAAUGCCAAUCAAGUUGAAAUUAACAAAAAAUUUGAAAACAAAAAGUACUCACAGGAGCCCAUCUGUAAACAAUCGAGUAGCCUCUAGCAAAAAUGUCCUCAAAGCAGCCACAUACUUUAUUAUCCCCCGAGUCAUUUCUACCCAAAUGAGCACCUGUACGGCCAUAUUGUUGUAGCCUUGACCUGACAUUAUCAGCCUCCCCAAGAUAAACCACCAAAACCUUGUCUGAGUCAAGCUUGCCAUUAUGGUCCUUGCUCGAAGGUUUAUUUAUAGCAAGCUCAUAAAGACCUGAGCUUGCAGUUUUGGGGAGAUUUUCAACCCUGUAUCUAGCCACUCCUUCUUUCCCCACUGAAUGGUCUUCCCAAUCAUGAGGACCAAUUAGAACCUAAUUAAAUGACAAAGAAAAGGACCCAGAUGAGAUUAAGGUUCAUAAAUCGAAUAUAAAAACUGGGUUUACAUAAUUUUUUAUCAAAAUCGAUGAGAAAUGGGAUAGGGAUUCAUUUUUUUGCUUUAAAAAAAGCCUGUUGUCAAUGGAUGAUUGAAUUAAGAGGAGAAAAACUGAGAAGAAUUUAUGGAAUUUGAAUGGGAGCACCUUCCAUUUGGAGAACUGAGAGUCGUGCUUGGUUCGUUUGUGAUCUUCACGGUUGAAUCUGGUGACCACAUCGGCCAAUUUAGCCGCUCCCAUUGGGAUUGGAUCUUCCUUGUGGGAAAGAACCGUUGUAUUUGUUUGCGCCACUUUAUAACGGGCGUUUUUUUUCAUUAUAAUAUUGCCCUAGUUGCAUUUUUUGUUUUUGGAACUUACUUUAUUAGUAAAAUAUUUGGAUUUUUUUUUCUUUUAGGAAUAAAAUAUUUGAAUUAUUAAUAAUGUGUUUUAAACCGAAUUAGUGGUCCAACCGGUUGAGCUAUUGGUUCAUCGAUUUAAUUGGUCCGAUCGAUCCAACUAGUUCAAUUAAAAAAUUAAAAUUGAUUCAACCGAUUUGAUUGUCGAUUCAACCAGUUUUUAGCCAGUUUAAUUGCUUUGUACCGAUUCUUAACCUAACUAGUUCAAAGCCAAUUUUUGGAUUGAUUCGUAAUUCAAUCGGUUCAAUCGAUUGGUCUGGUCCGAUUCAAACAAUACUAAUUCUUAAGACUUAAGAUACUAUAUUUUAUAUUCUCAAAAAAAUAUUUCUUUUAUUUUUUUAAGAAUGGUUUUUAAAAAUAGAAAAAAUGGUUUAAUCGUCUGAUUCCUAAGUCAACUUGUCUAAUAGAUUUCUCCAGAUCAGUAUCCUUACCAAUUUCGAGCUAACUAGUCUAAUUCAAAUUUUUAUAAUUUUUUUAAUAAUUUUUAUAAGUUUAUAUCAAUUUUAAUAUUUUUUUCAUAAUUUUUAUUAUUUUUAAAGUAAUAUGUUUUUUAAUUUAAAUAUUGUAAAUAAUUUUUAUUAAUUUUAUAAUUUAUUAUAUUUUUAUAAUAUUUAUAAGUUUUUAUAAAAAGAAAUUAUAAUUUUAAUAACUUUACAUCAAUUUUAAUAUUUAAUAUUUUUUAUAAUUUGUUUUGAAUUAUUUUAUUUUAUUUAUAAUUUUUCUGAUUUUUAAUAUUUUUAUGAGAAAAUAUUAGAUUAAACCAAAAGAUAUCACGUGCCACUAUUUAAUUGGUUUGUCAAUUUAUUUUAAUGAUCAACAUGAUCAAUAAUGAAAUCCGUUAACCGGGAAUUGAUUAAUUGUUUUAGUUAACAUCAAGGGCUUAAUUAGAUGCGAAUUUAAUACAUAGACUUAAUUGAUCUUUUUUGUAUUUUCUUAAGGACUUUUUGACAUAUAAACCUAUUAUAUUAUAUUAUAUUAUAUUAUAUUAUAUUAUAUUAUAUUAUAUUAUAACUUGUGACAUAAUUGUAUAGCAUUUAAAAUUAUCAUUUUUUUUGUAGAAUGAUUGUUGAACAUAACAAAAUCAAUAAAAAACUUUAUUUUAAUCAAAAUUUAUUUUUGUAAUUUGCACAUAAUAUUCACAACAAUCACACAUCCAAACACAAAAGCUACAAUGUAAAUCCACCUCUAGCCUAAGCUAAUAGACAAUUAUGCUAUUGAUAACUUAAUCCUUUCGUUCGGACAAUCACCGGAGCAGACGAAAGGGUAACUCUCGAUCCACAAAUGCUCUGACCGGCCGACCUUGAUUGAUCAAUGCUACCAAUAUCUUCCAUUUCCCCUAACAGUCAUCCGGUUAAAAGAACCAUUGCGGGUCAUAGUUGAAAGUACCGCAAGUAAAAUAACCGCUGCUGCUGCUGCUGCUACUGCUGCUGCUGCUGCUGCUAUAAUCCAAGUGUUGCCAACACCUUCCAUUUCCACUAACCGGUCUCUCGCAAGGAGCACCAUUGUCGGUGGUUGCUCCACAAAUUAAUAUAAUAUCAUCACCACCAUGGUCCAACCACCGCGGAGUAAAACUGCUGUCAUAGUCGCCAUAAUUUAAGUUCCGUGAAGUAAAAUAACUACUACUGCGACCAUAAUUCGAAUGUUGCCAACAUCUUCCAUAUCCACUAACUGGUCUCUCACAAGGAGCAGCAUCGGAAGUGGGUGCUCCACAAAUGGAUGUAAUAUCACCACCACCACCGUGGUCCAACCAUCGUGGAGUAAAACUGCUACCGCCGUCCUCGCCAUAAUUUAAGUGCCUCCGGCAUCUUCCAUUUACUUGCUUGUUUGAUUUGAUUUUGAUGGGCACAUGUCUUUAGUUGGAACUACUACUGCUACCAUAAUUCGAAUGUUGCCAACAUCUUCCAUUUCCACUAACCGGUCUCUCACAAGGAGCACCAUCGGAAGUGGCUGCUCCACAAAUGUAUGUAAUAUCACCACCACCACCACGGUGAUCUAAGUGCCGCCGGCAUCUUCCAUUUACUUGCUUGUUUGAUUUGAUUUUGAUGGGCAAAUGUCUUUUGUUGGAUACAUGUUUAUCUAGUUUCCGAAGGAUAUCAUUGGAGCGACGUGCGCCAUUAGAACCUAUAUUCCAUGCAUAAUCGUAUUUUUCAAGAAGUCGAGCUUCAGUUCUUUGAGCUGCUGCCUUACUUUUCAUCUAUUUCACAAAGAAAAUAAAAAUGGUGUUUGGAAGUACAAGGAUAGUCACUAAAUUCCACAAUUUUAUCUCUAAACUUUUUCUUUUUGAGUCCAUACUAAUUCUAUAAUUUAGUAGCGCUCUUAAGCUAAGCAAUAAAAAUAAAAAAUGUAAAAAUCAAUCCAAACCGAAAUGUUUAAACGAUUUAUAAAAUAUAAAUUAAAAAUCAUAGUUAUAACAACGGUUAUUUAAUUUAUAAUUAAUUUUAAUUUUUUAUUAUUCAAAAAUAAAUAUUUUAUAUUUAAAUAAUAGAAUAAUUUAAAAACUUUAUAAACAUCAUGCAAGUAUUAUUGAUUAUUUUUAUUUACUUAAUUUAAAAAGUUAUUUAUGGAAUACUUUUUUGAAAUUCUAUCAAAUAAUGUCCAAAUGCAAUAAAACAAAGCUUGCCAAAAUAAAUCUAAAAAAUAAAAAUAAAAAAUUAAUAUGAAAAAUAAAAAAUCAAAUCUAGUUAACAUAGUUAUUUAAAAAGUUUUAGGAAAAAAAUUCGACUAAAUCAAACUCGAUACUACAUAGAGAUAUAUAUACAUGGUUUUUGACCUAGUUUUUGAAACUGGUCAAACUCGAUCCAAGUUCAAUUCAAUAAAUUAUUUUAAAAAUUAUAAAAAUUGAAAAAAUAUUAAAAAAUAUAAAAUUAAUUCAACCAUCAAUUCAGAGUAAAACCGAAGCCUCUUUUUCCGAACUGAUUUUCAAUCUUACAACAACCGACACCAAUAAAGUUAGAAAGUAGAAAAACAUAAACUCACAGAAGCCCAUCUGUAGAUAAUAGAGCAACCCCUCGCAAAAAUUGGAUCAAACAAAAGACAUUUUUUUUCCCGAAAUCCAUUUUGUCUACAGAGAUGAGUACCAUUACGGCCAUAUUGUUGGAGUCUUACUCUUAUAUUUUCAGCCUCCCCAACAUAAACCACCAAACCAGGUUCAAGCUUGCCAUGGCGGUCCCUACUCGGCAGUUUACACACCGCAAGCUCAUAGGUUCCUGGACCUAAACUUUGUGGAAGAUUUUCAAGCCUGUAUCUGGUCACCGCUCCACCUUUCCCAUUUUUCCAGCCAUGAGGACAAAUAAGAAGCUAAACAAAUGAAAAGAAACCAAAAAGACCAAGAUCAGAUUAAGGUUUAUAAAUCAAAUUUAAACUGGGUAUAGAUGAUCUUUUUCAGCAAAAUCAAAAGCAUGAUUAAGAGUUGGAUUAAGGCAGAUUAAAAAACCUUCCAUUCGGAGAAGUAGGAAUCGUGGUCGGUCUUCUUGUGAUCUUCUCUGUUCGACCUGUCGACGUGAACGGGAAUCCCAUCUUCUACGACUAUAAGCACCAUUAUGCAAAUGUCUCUGAUUGCACCACUUUAUGAAAGGGCAUUUCUUAUUUAUAAUAAGGUUGAAAUUGCCUUCUUUCUUUUUAUUUUUUAUUUUUAUUUUUACUUUAGACUCAAUUCGUUUUAUUUUAUUAUUUUAUAAAAAUUUAAAAUUUAAAAUUUUAAUAAAUUUUAGAAAAAUUAUCCAUAUUAUUAAUAAGGCAUGUAUAAAUUGCCAUGACAAUGUUAUUAUUUUUAACAACUCUAUAUUUAAAAUAUUAAUAAUUUUAUUUAAAUAAAAAAAGUUUAACUAAAUCUUAAAGAUUAAAUGACAAUAAAAAACUUUAGAAACUAAAUUUAUCAUCUUACCUUUAUGUUUUGUCCAUGCCUUCCCCAUCUUUCCCUCAUCUUACUAGUGAAAUAUUUUAAUCCUUAAGUUACAAGUAACCGACAAAAUUAUUUGUACGUUGAUGAUAUGAUAGAUCUAAGACUCGUGUCAUGAUGUGAUUCAAUCGAGUGAAUUUUAGCGUCCUUCGUAAGCUGUCCUUUUGCAGUCUUGUCUUCUUUUACGUGUGAAAAUGAGUUUUUUUCUUCUUAAAUGUAAUAAUUUAUUAUACUCUAUAAAAUGGGUCUUUUAUAAAAAUAUUACAAAAAAAAUUAAAAUAAUAUUAAUUUUUUUAUUUAUCAAAAUAAUACAAAAAACAAAAAAAUAAAAAAAAGCUAUUGGAGGAUGUGACAGCACCUUGGUGGACCUUAUAAUGGGAGGACCAUUCGGCUGUGGGUGGAGAAGAAAAGGAGAGGCAAAGGAGAAGAAAAAAAGAAAGAAAAAGAAAGAAAGAAAAGGAAAGGAGAAAAAAGAAAGAGAAAAAGAAGAAAAUGUAAUUUUUUGUAAUAUUUGUGUAAAAAAUUUAUGUUAUGUAUAUUGUAUGUGUUUUAUUAUUUUAUUUAGCAUAUAUAUUUUAUGAAAUUUAUUUAGCAUGAAAAAAUUCAUUUUAUGUACAUUUUAUGUUAAUUAGAAUUUUUUUAUGAAAUUUAUUUAGCAUGUUGUAAUUAGUUUUUUUACAAAAAUAACAUUAAAAAUAAAAUGAUAAAAAAUAUGUUUAAGAAAACAUAAAAUACUAAAAGAAAAAAACGGAAAUUGUAUAUUCACCGAAAGUAAGAAAAUCCGAAAAAAAUUGUAUAUUUAAAAAACACACUAAAUUAAUAAAUUUCAAACAUAAUGUACUAAAAUAAUGUAAAAUUAGAAAAUUAGAAAAUAGUAUAUUUUUUAAAGUAAUAAAAUGUAGAGAAAAUAAUACGAACAAAAUGCCAAAGUAAGGGUUUUUUACUAAAUUUUAAAAAAAAAGAAUUAAUUAAUACAUUUCAAACAUAAUGUACUAAAAUAAUGUAAAAUAAUAAAAUACGAAAAUAAUAUAUUUUUAUUGAAAGUAAUAAAAUUUGGGAAAAAAUACGAGUAAAUGGCAGAAAUGAGGUUUUUGUUUUAAAUUUAUUUAAAAACACACUAAAUUAAUAAAUUUCAAACAGUGUGUACUAAAAUAAUGUAAAAUAAUAAAAUUAGAAAAUAGUAUUUUUUAAAUAAUAAAAUUCGGAAAAAAAAUAUGAACAAAGGGCCGAAAUAAUGGUUUUUUACUAAAUUUUUUUUUGAAGUUGCAGGCAUCGCAAUGACUUCAUUGAUUAAUAGCGAUACAUACAUAUCUGAUGCGGCUAAUAACAUGGUAAUAUAUUAUUAUUUGUUAAUCACGGGUUCUAUUAAAAAAUGAUAUAUGUAAUAUAUAGAAAUAAAUCAUAUUAUCCUAAUAUUUUUCUGUAAUUUAACACUAUCAGGGCUCGUACCGAGUAAUAAGGGGCCGGGUGAAUGGUUUAAAGUAUCCCCGGAUACUUAGGGUUUUUACUAAUAAUAAUAACUAACCAUAAUAAUAAUAUUAGUUUUUUACUAACAAUAAUUAUUAAUAACUAAACCCUAAAAACUAACAAUAAUAAUACUAACUAGAACCAUCAAUUUGAGUUUUUAUUAAUCUUAAUAACUAUCAAUAAUAACUAAACUAACAACAAAAAAACAUAAUAACAAGAUAAUCCAUUAUUUUUUUUUAAAAUACCUUAUUUUUUUUCUUCUCUUUCUCUCUUUUUUCCGGCACCACCUUCUUCUUCUUAUUCUCCUUCAACUAGAUGGAUACUGGACUUAUAAUACAAGUGGUGCCGUCUCUGCCACAGGUAUCUUUGGUGCCGCAUGUGGCAUCCCAUUUUCUACUGUUUUUUUGUAUUAUUUUGGUAAAUAAAAAAAUUAAUAUUAUUUUAGUAUUUUUUUAUUUUUGUAAUAUUUUUGUAAAAGACCCCUAUAAAAUACUUAUUAAAUUCUUAACUCUGUCUAUAAAAUUUAAAAAUUCUAUUAUACCAAAUAUUUUCUCUCAUGUUUAUUAUUUUUUUAAUAUUUUUUUAAUUUUAUAUAAUUAACGUAAACAAUCAUACCCAAAAGCUAAGUAAAAUAUAUAAAAUAUUCUAAAAAAAGUAUUCGUAUAAUGUUUAAAAAAUAAAAAUGUUACAAAUUAAUAAACAAACAUUUUUCCAUGUAUUUUUUUAUUAAAUUUUUUCUUGUUUAUACCAAAUAUUUUCCCUCAUGUUUAUUAUUUUUUUUAAUUUUAUAUAAUUAACGUAAACAAUCAUACCCAAAAGCUAAGUAAAAUAUAUAAAAUAUUCCUAUAUUCUUGGCCUCUUUAAAUAUUAAAUACCAUGAAAAUUAACACUAUAUUACAAAAUACCUUUCUCAAUAUUUUCACUACGUGAAACAAAAUUUUAUUUACUUACACUUGCAAUUUGUGGGGGCAAAAAAAAGAACCUGUUCGCUCAAUCGACUUGCUUAGUCAGAAAAUUUGUAUAGAUUCGCAUAUCGAAUGAACAGCUUAGCAACUCGAAAAGAACCUGUUCGCUCAAUCGACUUGCUUUUUUGCACGUUUAUGCACCUGUCCUCCAGAGUAUAAGAACCUCAUCAGCUAAAAGGCUGAAAUUGGCAAAAAAAAUUGGGGUUCAUGUAUUUAUUUUUUUAAUAUCAUGAAUCAUGAGAACCUUGGACCAUCAAAGUAAUACGCUUCGCGCUGUCCGCCCGAAGACUCGAAGACUAUCUCCUUUCAAACCAAUCUGGGAGGAGAAUCAUAUUCAACAUAACCUCAAAAGACUUGUUCCGACAAAAAUUUCGAAACAACAAUUUAAAAACAGAUGAUGCAACCCUCUGUUCGGUGAUUUGCUAUCAGAAGAGUUAUAUGAUUAUUCUACAAAGUUUGUAUUCAAAGGCAGAUUGAUUACCUCAGGACUAUCAGCUGGGAACCACCGUAAUAGUACACCAAGACAAACAACAGCUGGAAUCAGCUUGAAAAGCAAUGGAGUAGUCACCUGCAUGGUAAUUUUAUGAGUAAAAUCUGAACCUUGAGAGCUAACUAUGAAAGAACUUUAAGAAAUUGGCAGUAAAAGUACCAUGAAAGCCCCUGUAGUGGGAGUCGGGUUGGAUUUUUUCUCCUCCACCCGGAAAAUGAGCAUCCUUGUACAUUAGAUCAAAAGGUAAAUUGGUCCUUCUAUUAAAAUUCCAUCCAUUUCUAUUAUUAACAAAAUGACAAUUUACUCUUUGAUCUAACAUAUAGGGAUUAAUUUGCGCUUUUUUUGAGCAAAAGAGGCAAAAUACAAUUUGACUCGUAGUACAGGGAGCUCCAUGGUACUUUUAUCUGAUUUUGGCUAAUUACAUAUACAUAAGGAAAAAAAAAAAGGAUUCACAACAUCCAGAUCAUCCUCACAAGACAAUAAUACAAAAGCUACAACAUAAUCCAACAGCAGCCUCCAAGUGAAUACAUAAUCAUGUUAUUGCUAAGUUAAUCCUUCGGCUCCGGCACUCACCCAAACAUAUUAAACGGUGACUCUCGAUUGAUCAAUGCUCGGGCCAACCUGCCUUGACCUAUCGGUGCUGCCAACACCUUCCAUUUCCCUUGACUGGUCUCCGGCAGAAUGAGCGAUUGCGGGUUGGUGCUCCACAAAUGGAUGUACCCUUCCUGUCAUUGUUUGAGUUUCGCGGAGUAAAAUCAUUGCUGCGGCUGCAACUAUAUUUUAAGUGCUGCCAACACCUUCCAUUUCCAUUACCUGUUCUCUUGCAGGGGGUACCAUUGGAGGUAGGUACUCCACAAAUGGGUGUACUACAAUUGUUGCUGUUGAGACUUGAACUCGAGUCGAAAACAUGGGAUGGACUCUUUUUGUCUAAUCCGGAAACAAGAGUGGUAAUCAUCAUCCCCGUAUGAUUUUCAUAAAAAACUGAAGCUUCUUCAUCAGAAUAUGAAUUGAAAACAGCAUAUGGCAUUGUUUAAUAUCUUGUUAUCUCGGAAUCAGAGCUAUAAAUUCUCCUCCCUUUGUGCAAAUCACAUCCUUUUCUCCCGGAAACGGGUUGCCUUCUACAAAGAGAACCAUCAUCCAUGGCAACCCCACAAAUAGGACUACAAUGCUCGAUUUCGGGAUAGUCCUCUUUAUGUGGUUGUGAUUUCAUACUCAACCUCAUGGAAGACCCUGUAGUUUUCUUUCCCUUGUGUUCAGCGCAUCGUUUUCUUCCUUCAACCGGUGGCCUUUUACAAAUCGAACCAUCAUCUAAAACCACCCCACAAGAGAAGGUUUCGUUCUCGUUGGAGCCACCGUGAUUCGAAACCAACCGAGGCCGGGAUCUGCUGAAGUUGAAAACUUGAAGCAAAAAGUUGUGGUUCUCUCCAUUUUUGUAUUUGCCAAACUCAUUGUCGUCCGAAACUAGCUUGCUUGCUUUGAUUUUGAUUCCUACUUGCUUUUGAAGGAAGGGCAGAUGCUUUUUGGAGAAAUUGGCUAAUUUCAUAAGAUUUGAUGCAUGCUUAUCUAGUUUUUGAAGGAUAUCAUCGUGACGACGUACACCUUUUGAGCUUAUUCCAUGCAUAAUCAAAAGUAGUGAGAAGCUGAGCUUCAGUUCUCCGAGCAUCUGCCUUGUUUUCCAUCUAUUUAACAUGGGAAAGUAAAAUAACAUUAGGAAUUAGAUUAAAAACCAAAUUUUGGAUACAAGGAUGAACAUGUAAUAAGAACAUUGAUGAAAAAGUGCAUUUUCAAAGCUUCUUGGCCUUCAAAAACCAUAUCAUCUGCAAUUCAUUCAAGACUAAGAGCUUAUAACAGUAUGAAGAAUAUAUAUAUAUAUUAGUUCACCAUUUGUGAAAUUGGCCUUUACACGUAUAGGCUUUCAUUGUUCUGGUUAUGUUCCUUGGACUCUUAAUUUUUCUUGAAGUAUCCGACACUCUUGUCUAACACAUGGAUAUGGGGAUAUGACCUCCAAAGAUCCUCCAAAUACAUGAAAAAACAUUAAAAAGACUAAUCAUAUUCGUGAGGGAUACAUAUCCAUAUCCGACAAUCACACCCGAGUCCGAGUAACAUAGGUUCUUGGAACACAUUUUUCCCUAUGAUUCUUACCAUUUUCACCCUCCUAAGCAUAAACAUUAACAGUUAUUAAGUGCUUAAAUGCUACAACUAAUCAAUUAAAGCCAGUAAAGGGCCGUUGUAGUAUAAUCAGCAAACAUUAGGAAAGCUUCAAAAUCUUAUAUAUAUGAACUAGAAGAUCAAACAUCACCAGAACUCCUUCACUAUGUAUGCACUAUGAACUUACGAUUGUUAUAUUUUGCUACUAAAAUCUACACCUGAAAUAAAUUACAGUUUCAUUUCAAAUUUUAAACUUUCUCAAAUUUCCGUUCAAACUUUCAUAUGAUACUAAUCAAGUUAAAAAAUUAGCCAAAAAACUUCAAAAUAUUAUAUAUUAUGUGUGUGUGUGUGUAUAUAUAUAUAUAUGACCUAGAAGAUCAAUAAAACAUCACUAGCACUUCAUCACUAUGCAUGAAUUAUGAACUUAACCACUGUUAUAUUUUACUACUAAAAUCUACACCUGAACCUCAUAUAAAUUACAGUUUUAUUCCAAGUUCAAAACUUCUCAAAUAGGUUCCAUUCAAACUCUCAUAUGAUAUCAAUCAAGUUAAAUUUAGCAAAAGAAACAGAAAAAUAUUAUAUAUAUAUGAACUAGUAGAUCAAUCAAAACAUCACUAUCACUCCACUAAGUAUGAAUUAUGACUGCUAAAAUCUACAUUUGAUAUAAUUUACAGUUUCAUUUCAAAUUCAAAACUUCUUAAAUAGGCUCCAUUCAAACUCUUAUAUGAUACCAAUCAAGUUAAAAUUAGCAAAAGAAACUUCAAAAUAUUAUCAAGUUAAAAUUUCACCAGAACUCCUUCACUGUGCAUGAACUAUGAACUUACCAUUGUUAUGGUUUACUACUAAAAUCUACACCUGAUAAAAAUUACAGUUUAAUUUCAAAUUCAGAACUUCUCAAAUAGUUUCCUUUCACUAAUAUGAUGCCAAUCAAGUUGAAAUUAACAAAAAAUUUGAAAACAAAAAGUACUCACAGGAGCCCAUCUGUAAACAAUAGAGUAGCCUCUAGCAAAAAUGUCCUCAAAGCAGCCACAUACUUUAUUAUCCCCCGAGUCAUUUCUGCCCAAAUGAGCACCUGUACGGCCAUAUUGUUGUAGCCUUGACCUGACAUUAUCAGCCUCCCCAAGAUAAACCACCAAAACCUUGUCUGAGUCAAGCUUGCCAUUAUGGUCCCUGCUCGAAGGUUUAUUUAUAGCAAGCUCAAAAAGACCUGAGCUUGCAGUUUUGGGGAGAUUUUCAACCCUGUAUCUAGCCACUCCUUCUUUCCCCACUGAAUGGUCUUCCCAAUCAUGAGGACCAAUUAGAACCUAAACAAAUGACAAACAAAAGGACCCAGAUGAGAUUAAGGUUCAUAAAUCGAAUAUAAAAACUGCGCUUACAUAAUUGUUUAUCAAAAUCGAUGAGAAAUGGGAUAGGGAUUCAUUUUUUUGCUUUAAAAAAAGCCUGUUGUCAAUGGAUGGUUGAAUUAAGAGGAGAAAAACUGAGAAGAAUUUAUGGAAUUUGAAUGGGGGCACCUUCCAUUUGGAGAACUGAGAGUCGUGCUUGGUUCGUUUGUGAUCUUCUCGGUUGAAUCUGGUACCACAUCGGCCAAUUUAGCCGCUCCCAUUGGGAUCGGAUCUUCCUUGUGGGAAAGAACCGUUGUAUUUGUUUGCGCCACUUUAUAACGGGCGUUUUUUUUCAUUAUAAUAUUGCCCUAGUUGCAUUUUUUGUUUUUGGAACUUACUUUAUUAUUAAAAUAUUUGGAUUUUUUUCUUCUUUUAGGAAUAAAACAUUUGAAUUAUUAAUAAUGUGUUUUAAACCGAAUUAGUGGUCCAACCGGUUGAGCUAUUGGUUCAUCGAUUUAAUUGGUCUGAUCGAUACAACCAGUUCAAUUAAAAAAUUAAAAAUUGAUUCAACCGAUUUGAUCGUCGAUUCAACAAGUUUUUAGUCAGUUCAAUUGCUUCGUAUUGAUUCUUAAUCUAACUAGUUCAAAGCCAAUUUUCGGAUCGGUUCGUGAUUCAAUCGGUUCAAUUGAUUGGUCCGGUCCGAUUCAAACAAUACUAAUUCUUAAGACUUAAGAUACUAUAUUUUAUAUUCUCAAAAAAAAUUUCUUUUAUUGUUUUUUUAAGAAUGAUUUUUUAAAAAAAAAUGGUUCAAUCGUCUGAUUCCUAAGUCAAUUUGUCUAAUGGAUUUCUCCGAAUCAGUACCCUUACCAAUUUCGAGCUAACUGGUCUAAUUCAAGUUUUUAUGAUUUUUUUAUAAUUUUUAUAAGUUUAUAUCAAUUUUAAUAUUUUUUUCAUAAUUUUUACAAUUUUUUUUAUUAUUUUUAAAGUAUUAUGUUUUUUAAUUUAAAUAUUGUAAAUACCUUUUAUUUUUUUAUAAUUUAUUAUAUUUUUAUAAUAUUUGUAAGUUUUUAUAAAAAAUUAUAAUUUUAAUAACUUUACAUCAAUUUUAAUAUUUAAUGUUUUUUAUAAUUUAUUUUGAAUUAUUUUAUUUUAUUUAUAAUUUUUUUAUUUUUAAUAUUUUUUAUGAGAAUAUUAGAUUAAGCCAAAAGAUGUCACGUGUCACCAUUUAAUUGAUUUGUCAAUUUAAUUUAACAGUCAACAUGAUCAAUAAUGAAACCCGUUAAUGGGGGGAUUGAUUAAUUGUUUUAGUUAACAUCAAGGGCUUAAUUAGGUGCGAAUUUAAUACAUGGACUUAAUUAAUCUCUUUUGUAUUUUCUUAAGGGUUUUUUGACAUAUAAACCUAUUAUAUAUAUUAUAUUAUAUUAUGUUAUAUUAUAUUAUAUUAUAUUAUAUUAUAUUAUAACUUGUGACAUAAUUGUAUCGUAUUUAAAAUUAUCAUUUUUUUAUAGAAUGAUUGUUGAGCAUAAUAAAAUCAAUCAAGAAACUUUGAUACUUAAAUUCAAGUUUCACCAUAUAUAAAUAUAUUUGAAUUUUCCUCUAAAUUUAUUCUAAUUCAUUGAAUUGAGUUGAAUUAAUUAUUUAAUUUUAAUGCUUGUAUGGAUAAAUUUCGAUUAGAAUAAUCAAUAUAUAUCAUCAAAAUUAAUUAAUUAACUCUUUAUUACAAAAAUACCUUCCUCAAUAUUCCAUUACAAAAAUAUAUUUAUAUACUAGACACUCGCUAAUGAGUACCGCAUCCUCAAAAUUGUAACAUUGCCAUGGCAUAUAAGCUAUAAGUACGUUUUUGCCCAAUGCGAGUUCGCCACCAACCGUAACUGCACCGUCCGCUAAAAUUUGCCACAAAUCAUGAAUUAGUAUCUACAUCUACUCUCUAAAAAAAAAUUCAAUUGUUUCGAACUUUCUAGUUUGGAAUGGGAAUAUUUACGGAAUCCCCAUGAAUAGGAUCAAACCUUAUUCCAUGGUAUUUACAUGAGAUUCCUCUUUCUUAUUCUUAAGCAAGUCCCCGAUACCAAGCUUCACUUACUAUAAAUACAAUAACUUUAUUUUUGUAAUUUGCACAUAAUAUUCACAACAAUCACACAUCCAAACACAAAAGCUACAAUGUAAAUCCACCUCUAGCCUAAGCUAAUAGACAAUUAUGCCAUUGUUAAUUUAAUCCUUUCGUUCGGACUAUCACCGGAGCAGACGAGAGGGUUACUUUCGAUCCACAAAUGCUCCGACCGACCAACCUUGAUCGAUCAAUGCUACCAAUAUCUUCCAUUUCCCCCAACAGCCAUUCGGUAAAAAGAACCAUUGCGAGUCAUAGUUGAAAGUACAGCAAAGUAAAAUAACCACUGCUGCUGCUGCUGCAACCAUAAUCCAAGUGUUGCCAACACCUUCCAUUUCCACAAACCGGUCCCUCGCAAGGAGCACUAUUGUAGGUGGUUGCUCCACAAAUUAAUAUAAUAUCAUCACCACCAUGGUCCAACCACCGCGGAGUAAAACUACUGUCAUAGCCGCCAUAAUUUAAGUUCCGUGAAGUAAAAUAACUACUACUGCGACCAUAAUUCGAAUGUUGCCAACGUCUUCCAUUUCCACUAACUGGUCUCUCACAAGGAGCAGCAUCGCAAGUGGGUGCUCCACAAAUGGAUGUAAUAUCACCACCACCGUGGUCCAACCAUCGUGGAGUAAAACUGCUACCGUCGUCCCCGCCAUAAUUUAAGUGCCUCCGGCAUCUUCCAUUUACUUGCUUGUUUGAUUUGAUUUUGAUGGGCAAAUGUUUUUUGUUGGAUACAUGUUUAUCUAGUUUCCGAAGGAUAUCAUUGUGGCGACAUGCACCAUUAGAACUUUUAGGGUACGUUUGGUUCAUUAUAAUGGAAUAGAGUUGUAAUUGAAUAGAACUGUAAUAAUAUUCUUGUGUUUAGUUGAAUGGAAUGAUGUUGUAAUAGCAUAAGGAAAAAAAUUAAAAUAACUAUAAUACCCUUAGCAGAAUUUUUUUAGGUAGAUGAUUAUUGUUGUUGUUAUUAAAAUUUAAUAAGAUUAUUAUUAAAAAUAAUUUAAUAAAAAUAAAUAUUUUAACCAUAUUUUAACAUAAUUAUUAUUAUAUGAAUUAAAAAAAUCAUAAUAUAUAAUACUAUAAAAAUAAUAUAUAAUAUGUUUUAUUAUUUUUAAAUUGCAAUACAUAUUUAAUGUGUUAAAUAUUAUUAGUGAAAUAAAUAAUUUAAUUAUUCUACAAUAAAAAAUAAAAUAUUAGAAGUAAUAAAUAACUUGAGAAUUAUAUUUCACAUCCAAACAUAAUAUUCAUAUAUUAACAAAAAGUUACACGAUUUCAUUAGUUUAUAUGUCAUAAAUUUUUUUAAUUCAUAUAAUAAUUAUAUUAAGAAUUUUAUUAAAUUAUAUUUAAUAAUAAUUAUGUUAAAAUAUGGUUAAAUUAUUUAUUUAUUUUUAUUAAAUUAUUUUUAAUAAUAAUCUUAUUAAAAUUUUAAUAACAAUAACAAUAAUCAUCUACCUAAAAAAAAUUCUGCUAAAAGUAUUCUAGUCAUUUUAGUUUUUUUUUUCCUUAUGCUAUUACAACAUCAUUCCAUUCAACUAAAUAGAAGAAUACUAUUACAGUUCUAUUCAAUUUCAUUUAACCAAACAAUUGAAUUACUAAUUACAACUCUAUCCAAUUACAGCUCUAUUCUAUUAAAGUGAACCAAAUGUACCCUUAACUCUGUCUAUAAAAUUUUAAAACUCUAUUACUCCAAAUAUUUUAUCUCAUUUUUAUUAUUUAUUAAUAAUUUUUUAAUUUUAUAUAAUUAACGUAAGCAAUCAUACCUAAAAGAUAAGUAAAAUAUAUAAAAUAUUCUAAAAAAAACAGUAUUUGUAUAAUGUUUAAAAAAUAAAAAUGUUACAAAUUAAUACAGAAACAUUUUUCCAUGUAAAAUUUUAUUAAAUUUUUUCCCUAUAUUCUUGGCCUCUUUAAAUAUUAAAUACCAUGAAAAUUAACACUAUAUUACAAAAUACCUUUCUCAAUAUUUUCACUAUGUGAAACAAAAUUUUAUUUUACUUUCACAUGCAAUUUGUGGGGAAAAAAAAGCAACAAAUAAACCAAUCAAUUAAAGUGGGAAAAAGAUUGAAAUGAAUUACCUUAUAAAUGGAGGUUAUUACACAAAGCUCAUCUAACCAAAUAUCAGAAUGGCAAUGCGGCAUCGGAGGACAGGGAGAAUCGUAUUUUAUAUCGCUGUUCAUACGUCGUUGCCAGCUGUUCCCCGGUCGGUCUUUGCUUAGUCAGAAAUUAGUCAGAAAUUUGUAUAGAUUCGCAUAUUGUAUGAACAGCUUAGCAACUCGAAAAGAAUCUGUUCGCUCAAUCGACUUGCUUUUUUGCACGUUUAUGCACCUGUCCUCCAGAGUAUAAGAACCUCAUCAGCUAAAAGGCUGAAAUUGGCAAAAAAAAUUGGGGUUCAUGUAUUUAUUUUUUAAUAUCAUGAAUCAUGAGAGCCUUGGACCAUCAAAGUAAUACGCUACGCGCUGUCCGCCCGAAGACUCGAAGACUAUCUCCUUUCAAACCAAUCUGGGAGGAGAAUCAUAUUCAACAUAACCUCAAAAGACUUGUUCCGACAAAAAUUUCGAAACAACAAUUUAAAAACAGAUGAUGCAACCCUCUGUUCGGUGAUUUGCUAUCAGAAGAGUUAUAUGACUAUUCUACAAAGUUUGUAUUCAAAGGCAGAUUGAUUACCUCAGGACUAUCAGCUGGGAACCACCGUAAUAGUACACCAAGACGAACAACAGCUGGAAUCAGUUUGAAAAGCAAUGGAGUAGUCACCUGCAUGGUAAUUUUAUGAGUAAAAUCUGAACCUUGAGAGCUAACUAUGAAAGAACUUUAAGAAAUUGGCAGUAAAAGUAGAAGGCCCUUGUAGUGGGAGUCGGGUUGCAUUUUUUCUCCUCCACUCGGAAAAUGGGCGUCCUUAUACAUUAGAACAAAGAGUAAAUUGGUCCUUCUAUUAAAAUUCCAUCCAUUUCUAUUAUUAACAAAAAUGACCAAUUUGCUCUUUGAUCUAACAUAUAGGGAUUAAUUUGCCCCCUUUUUUGAGUAAAAGAGGCAAAAUACAAUUUGACUCAUAGUACAGGGACCUCCAUGGUACUUUUACCUGAUUUUGGCUAAUUACAUGUACAUAAGGAAUUAAUAGUAAAAGUUUCCAUUCUGAUCGGAAAAUGCUUAAACCAAUUGUAUCAUUUUUCUAUGGGAUACUGUUCGUGAACCAAUAAGAGAAAAUGCAAUUGCAGCAAGACUUUUAUUGCAGUCGUCCAUUUUCAAACUACCCUCCCGUUGCAUGUUUGGUUCUCGCGAUUAGAAUGGUAAACUAUGGUAAACUAAAACUACAAGAGAUUCUCAAAUGUCAGUUUUUUAAUAAAUGCCAAAUGAGAUUCUCAAAUGUCAGUUUUUUAAUAAAUGCCAAAUGCUAAUGACACCACGUUUAACGGCUUACAUACCAAACUAAGAGCUGUUGUGCCCAGAAGUAGCAGGUAAAGUUUACCCUGCCGCAAUGACAAAAAUUUAGAAAUGGUGAUUAUAUGAAUAAAGAGCAAUGGAGUAACUUCAAUUAUAUGAAGAUUCCAACAAUGGAGGACAAACCUCUACGAGAUGAAGAUUAGACGCACGACUUAGAAGUACGAAAGCAAAUUCCCCAAUUUGGGCCAAUGACAUCCCAACCUACACAUUACGUUUAAAGGAACUAAGGCCCCUUUACUGAAUAAUGUAAGGAAAAAAAAUGUUAUACUCAACUCAUACAAGAAUUGAGGUUUUGUUGCUGUAUCUGAAUCCCUUGACAACUGCAGCAACUACCAUCGUUUUAAUAAUAAUCACCAAUAUAACAGCUGCUAGCAAUAUAUCAACGUGAUUCCAAAGGAAAUGCACAUUAAUCAACAUCCCAAUACUGGCAAGGAAAAGAGCAGCGAAGAAAUUGCGAAUGGGCUCAACCUGUGUGUAAGAGGGAGAAAACCGAGGAGAAUUUCAUUGGUUAACAAGGCAAGAACAUGGCAAGAACACCAUUGUACUAACCAAACUAAUAUUGACAAUAAUGCUCUCAAACAUGCAUCAUAAACCAAUUAAAACUCAAGGAAAACAAGAUGCUUAAAAUAGUGCCUGACGGACACAAGACUUGGCUAACCGCAAAACUAGCACAGGCAGGACUUUUAAUUGCCUUCCUAACGGUAACACUCAUCUUACACCAUCAAUAAUUGCCUUAAACUGAUUCGAUAACAUUAAGACUAACUCAGUCUGGAAAAAUAUUACAAUAUUUACUGUGUAGAGAUGGUUAAUGAGUUCACAUACAGUUGACUUUUGAGUAGGAAGUUAAACUAUUGAAAGUUCUUUCAGAAAGGCUAAAAAAAUCUAGAUAUCUUACUUGUUCAAGUGUAUGUUGACCGAGAUCAGUGGUUGAUAUCAUCACUCCCGCAGCAAAGGAGCCCAGCUCAAGGCUUAGACCCAGCUUAUCACUACACUGGAGUAUCACAACAACCUCUGUUAUAUGCAUAUACAAAUGAAUGUAGGCUGCUAACUGAACGAAAGGCACAUGGGUUUUAUUGGUAGAGUUAAGAAAAAAAAAGUUGCAAGUGAAAAAACUUGCAGCAGUCCAUGCAACAAAAUGAUAGAUCUUUUCCGAUGUUAUGUUGCAAUUAGAUGCAAAGGUUAAUUACAAUGCAAGAAGUAAGAAGGAAAUGAGCAAACCCAAGCAACAAGCAAGCAAAAUGCCACGGAUGCCAACUGAUAGAGUUCAUUAGUCUGCAAAUAAAUAUCUAGGUUAAUAAAUGUACAUAGAUUAAAGAACUGAAAAAAUAAGACAGAUUUAUUAUAUAAAGGUGUUACGAGAAAGAAACUUGUGAUGCAAGAAAGAAAAAUUAAGGGAAGAAAAAAAUAGACUUGAAGUGUGAUUCACAACUCAAUUAGGCAUUAUUGAGUUUUAAAUAUAGGCAUAGUACAUGACUUAUGGCAGAAGAAGUGCCCCUUUUUUUUUACCUUUAAAAAUGUAGUAAGCCCACUUAUCCAAUGGGAUAGGCACCCAACUCAAAUAUUUACGUUCUAAAGAAUUGUAUAUUCAAAUUCUUUAUACUUGAUAUUUGUAGCAAUGUGGGAUUACUAACAUUGCAAACUACUAACGAGGUUACCUGUGAUGAUAGGCUUAUCAUGAGCUUAAGAAACCAUGGCACACAAGUCCAAGAUACUAUUGUCAAAAUGGUCAGAAAUGUGAUUAAAACCACCAACCUGAAAAUCAAAGGAGAAAAUGUAUUAUUAGAAACCUAAAAACUGUAAUGAUAUUUCCCUCAACUGAAUCAAAAAGAGUAGAUCUUAGAGAUUUUUCAUUUACGAUUUAGUCAUGGAUAAUACUCCUUGAAGGACUCCAGAAUUGCCACCUAGAACUGGAAGUAAAGCAAACAGCAAACCGACAGCACAGUCCUGCCAUGACAAAACUUCAUACUGCCUAAGCACAAGUGAAGUUCUUUUAACUGAUGUGGUGACAAAGAAAAUAAAUACCUGCAGGAUAAGAGUUCCAAUUGUAACUUGACCAUGAAGGGCACUUAUACUAUUCCUUUCCAUCAAAAAUUUCAAAACCUGAAACCAUUAAAGACAAAGCAGUCAUCAUAAGAAUAAAAGGAGACUACAUGCAUCUGCAAAGCAAAAUAUUUGUGAAAGUGUUUCCUCGAAUAAGCAAUUUUCUCUAAAAUUUUUCACCAAUCCAAGAACAUGCAGUUCAUAGAGGUUUACCACAGCUGUAGAAGACAUAGAUAGGAAUGCACCAACAAAAACCCCCUCUGAAGCUUUACCCCCACAUAACUGCAAAAAGCAUGUAGCUGCAUUCAUCAAAAACUCAUAACUAAUUUGGAAGGAAAAUACUAUAAGAGAUGAAAAAAUAGAAACCAUCAUAUCUUCUCAAUAGAAAAAGUGAAAAAAAAUUUCGACAUGCCUAAUUAAACAAAACAAAAAAAAAGGUCCUCACCAACUGAUAUAAAAAGAGUGGAUAACAUCUUGCCCAAGCGCCAGAUAAUGAUAACAUGGCGCUCACUUAUGUGGUUACACCAGAUGUUAUAUAAGUACAGUAUAAAAUACAAACCAUAUAUGCUAAAACUUAGUACCAAUAACUGCAAAGCUUAUUUUAUGUGGUAAGAUUUAAUUAUCAAACAUUUACAGAAAAAUAUUUCUAACAAUAGCACACAUACCGAGACUGUUAUACCACACAAGCACAUGAAUAGAAAAAUUUGAAGAAGACCCCCAAGGACAGCAACUGCUCGAACAACACGAAGCUGCAUAAAUUGCAACAAGGUGUGUACCAUGAGUCAUAGGAAUGAAUCUAAUAGGGCCAGUACAAGGCAACAAGCAAACCUUUGUUGCUGAAAACUCCAAGCCUAAAGCAAAAAGAAGAAAGAUUACACCAAAUUGAGCCACUGUUUCCACCUGAAUUCAUGAGCCAAAAAAGAUAUGGACACGGUAAGUGAAAUUAUUUAAAAAAUGAAAUGAGAAAAAUAGUACACAGAUGUGUAAGCUUCUACCACAGGUUCCUUGAACAGAAUUCUUUAAGAAUUAAUAAAGAUUGUUUUGUUUGCUAAUCCAACAUAAUUGCGCAAGUAUUAGCAUGUGUAUUAUUACCAGUUUAUGCAUAUAAAUGCAUUUCUUAGUCUGCUUCUUUUUCUAGGAACCCAUGCAUGCAAGCAAAUAUGAAAUAAGUAGGAAGACCGAUAACUAUAUUUUAACCAAUUUUGAAAAUUUGCAUACAUCUGUUACAAGCAACUUACAAUGAGGCAGUAGGUUUUCAGCUCUUGCAGUAUCAAGUAAAUACAGUAGCUAUAAACUAUACCACAUCAUGCUUAUAAGCUUAGAAAGAUUACUUAUGUUGCUGUAGUUAUGCAUUUAAAACAGGAAUUUCUGUUUAUUAUAAACAACAGCCUUGUUGAGCAUCAUGAUCUUUAAACAUCUAAAAUGAGUUGGAACUUUAUCUAACUUAAUCGCCAAUUCUGCAGACCAACACCCCACUUUAUAUGUCUAGAAGUCUCACCCAAACAAAACAAAACCCAAGCCAAAGACAAGUAAUUGCCAGCUAGUAUCAAAGUGGAAGCAACAUACUUGCACCAUUUCACCAACAAAGCUAAAUCCACCGGGUCCAAUAAUAGAUCCUGCAAGUAGAUAUCCAGUAAUAACCUGAAAUUUAAAAAUGCAAAGGUAAGACUCUCCUUUAGAGAAAAUCUGUAAUUCUGAAUCAAGAACAAGUUCUGCAAAGCAUUUAAGAAGAGACUGAAAAUAAAUCUAUAACCAGAACACUGUGUUAGAGGGUGAAAACUAAUGGAAUAAAGAAAGUAAAAGGCACAACAGCAAUACCGGUUGUCCAGCACAAGCAAAAGCAAUGCCACCGCAUGUAGCAGAGACGAUGACAAUUAUCAGAUCCAAUAUUAAUCUGCACAAGAAUUUUGGGAAAAUCAAAGUUGGUCCCAAUACAACUGUGAUGGCAUCAAACUAAACUAAAUACAUAAAAUAUACAAUAAAAGUUUAACCUUAAGUCUAAUUGUAGAACAGGAUACUUCGACUUUGGGUUGGAUAUUAUAAAGACAUUGUCCUGACGAGAAGUAUGCCAACAUGAUCAGCAUGUAAUUUACUUAAAUAUAACUACACUAAAAAUACAAUUGCCUGAGGCAGCAUUAUCAUGAUUCAAUGUCAACAGCAAGGAAAAUUAUCAACUGAAUAGAAAUUUUAGAAGACUUUUACAAGACAUACAUUUCGAUCUAUCAACGUUGGUGCAUCAUCAGCUCGAUUUUCAUCAUCCAAAUGGAAAACGUCAUGGAGCUGAAAUGACCUGGCACAAGGCUCAAAAAAAUGUAAGCUGUCAAGUAAUGUGGGUUAGGCGAAGCAAAAUGCCCACAAUAGCAGAAGAAUGGUUCAACUCUUACUUCUCUUCCUUGGUCUCAUUUUUCUUGGUCUUAACUCUAGCAACAGUUUCCAAGACAGCCUAAGAAAAAUAAACCAAUUAUGUUAUCACCACCCAGCUUCUUUAAUAAUUGAUAGAAAAUUCAUAAACAGACAGGUAAAUUCUCAUCUUUAUUGCAAGAGUAGCAUGGUUCAGCAUUCUGAUCUCAAAAGUUUUUCUCACUUGAAAACUAGAAUGGAAAUCAUAACUAAACCCAUCUGAUCCAAUAAAUUGUUUACAGCUUUAGAUUCUUUAACCACUAAAGUCAAUAUUGAAAUUUAAAGGCAGCCGACAGCCGGCCUCUACACAAUAAAAGAAGCUCCACUUUUGAGUGCUUAAUCAAUGAUCAAUUUCAAAACUAAAGGUCAUAGAAAAUGAAUAACAUUAUUAAAAAAAAUAACUAGCCUACCACCAACCUGCUUCCCCGCGACACUAUUGUUGAAACUAUCAGGAUCAGUAGCUGCAAAAAGAGAGAGGUAAGAAUUCAAUAAUUGAAACUAAAAGAGCCAAAUUAAGAUUUCUAUUUUAUAACUUAGAACAGAGGAAUGAAUUUCGUUUUCUACUUCUCGAGUUCACUUGUCACUGCAAUUUUUAAAGCUCUUUACGCAAAUGCGGUAAAUUUUCUAAAUAAAAUACAGCGAAAUAAACAGAAAUGUUCAUAAUCAAACAUCAAACGUUAAACAUUUUAAUGAAAAAUACAAAAUUAAGAAAAAAACUGAGUGAAAUAACAGCUGAUCCACAUGCUUCAAAAGCCAAACUCAACUAACCACCAUUGAUACAGAAAUAAAUGCCGAAUGCAGAUGAAGAGAGAGAGAGAGAGAAUAACGAGAAUUCAGAUCUGGUAGUACGGACCUUCAUUUUGGUCGGUGUCAUUGAAUUCCUUCUCAAGAGCACGAUCGAUCAUGCCGACAAAACUACCCUCUCUGGAUCUCGGGUCCGAGAUAUUGGCCAGAACGGCGGUGACAUUGAUCUCCACCGCUGACCGGGCGUCAAUGACGGCGACGGAAGUGAUGAAUACAAUGAGAUCACAAAUGAAGAAGAGAGCACAGAUUCCUCUCAUUUCCGAUGUUUUAGUGAAUGAAAAAAAAAAGUGAAAGAAAAUGGAGAAAUUAGCAGAAGCGUAAGUUAACGAAACAGAGAGUGAAGCGUAUUGGAAUCGCGCCUUUCUCCUUUUUUCGUUUCCUUCUCCACUCUCCCGCUUGUUUGUUGGAAAAAAUAAUAUUUGUUUAAAGUUAGCUUAAAAAAAAUGGAGGUUGAUGAAAAGGAUAAACUCUACCACUCAAAUCAGGUGUUAAUCCUACUCGUACGCGCUCAACGGUACCGCGUGCAACAAAUGCCUUGUGUUGUAGCCUUGUAGGUGUUCAUUAGUUGUGUACCCCGCCCACUCGCUCUGGAUCAGAUUUGAGCUUGGGAUGGCAAAAAAAUCCGCAUUCAAUAGGUUUCGACCCGAAUUAAUAGGGUCGGAGUUUUUAUUUUUGAAAUUAGAUUUGAGGCAGAUCAAAGUAAAUUUUUUGGGGUUAGGGUCGAAAAAAGCAAAGGCGACACCGGGCCCCCUAAAAAUAAAAUGUUUUAUUUUAUCUCUUUUAGGAAUAAUAAAAUUAUAAAUUAAUUGAAUGGUAAAAAUAUAUUUUAACCUUUAAAUAUGAAAAAAUUUAUUUAAUCUCUUUAAAAAUAAUGAAAUUAUAAAUUAAUAUAUAAUAAAAUUAUAUUUUAAUCUAUCAAAAAUCUUAUAAUUUAAUUUUAACUCCCUAAAAAAAUUUUUAGCUUCGUCCAUGAAAAGAACUUACCUUACCUCGAGAUAAUUAUAAAAUUUCCCUUAUAUAUAAUAUAUAUUAAUAUUAGAUCCUCAGUUCCAUUAUUUGUGUCACUCACCUUUGUAUUCUUCUCCAUAAUUUCUCAUCUUUCUUAAUUAACCUACUGUUUAAAAGUGAUGCAUAAAUGAAAUAGAAUGACAAAAUUAAUUGUCAAAAAUUUUGUAUUCAAAAUGUGAAAAUGUUCUGUACCAAGAUGGGUGAGGUACAUUAUUUAUUUUUCUAGGCAAAUUUAUAGGGGUUACACUUUUUUAAGUCAGGGUUAAAAAAUCGACUUAUCUUAUUUCGUUGUCAUCCCUAUUUGAGCUGGUAGCAUUAACUGUUUAAAGAUAAUUUAAAUAAUUUUGUAUUAAUAUUUGUAUAUUUUUAUAAUUUUUAAAAUGGAAAAAUGAAUCAUUUGGACAUAAUGGGCUAAGCUCUAUCUCAAGCUUAGAUUUUUUUUUUUUUUGGAAUUAGGUCUCAACCUAAUCCAGCUCUUAAACACCUCCAUGUUGUACAUUACUCCUAAAUAUGUCCAUGAAUUAGGUCGAUUUUGGUUCGAGCUCAUUUUUUAUUACUUAUUCAAGUUUAAGUUUAUUUUGAUUUUAGGUUCAAUUUCAAGAAUUUAAAUUACCAACUUCUUUUACGAACAAAUCAAAUUGAGUCCAACUUGAAUUUUUGGGCUUGUAGUUUUUUUCUUAAACAUGCAUAUUAUUUCAUUAUCGAAAAGAAAUAUGUAGAUCAGGUUUAAACUCCAUACAAGACAUGUACCUAAAAUAAAAGCCAGUGACAUAUACCAUACAAAUAUUCAGAGGCCAAUGAUUUAAACAUCAAAAUCCGAUGACAAAGAUUCGAUAAGCAUCCAACGCAAUUAACCAUGUCCAGUUUUUUAUCAUGGGCGCUAAUAGAGAUCUUCGCUUGUAACCUUGACCACGUACCCGUGACAUAAAGAAAUGUCACACUUUUAUCAAAAUUGUGGCUAUUUGACAAAAAUACAAAAAAUAUAUAUAAAUUACUCAAAUUUAAAAAUACUUAUAUAAAUAACCUUAAAUGAACAGUAAAUUAAGGUAGGAGACUUAAAUGACCGACAUCACCUAGAUUUUUGUGCCAAUUAUCAUCUGAUAAUUUUUUCAAGUGUUAAAAAAAUACUUUUUAGGGCUGAAGGGCCUUAAUGGUUGACACCCUUUUAUUUUUUUUCAACCGUAUCAUAUUGGUAUAUUUUACAAGAUUUAAAAAAGCGACCAUCUAGUACUCUCAAUCCAAUUUUUUUUCAAAUACUAGUGUAAUUUUUUUCAUUAAUUUUGAGAGUGAUUUGAUGAAUAGUAUAGGUUUAAAGGUUAAAAAAGAUGAGAAUUUAAAAUAAAAACAAAAAUAACUUUUUUUUUUAUAAAAUUGAAAGGUGAAAUAAAUUAUUAUACAAAUUACUUAAUAAGGCAACAUUUAUAUAUAGUUGUGAUGUUUAUACAAUGAAGAUUGAUUGGUAAUUAAAUUCAAAGGACACAACUACACAAGCAACUAAACUAAGGUCUUAAAUUGUUAGGUGAAGAUGGUGGGGCCACCACGAAACUCUAUGGCAACUUCGCCAAAGAUUCAAAUUUUUGUGUCAAAACGAAAAAAAUGUGUUCAAUGUAUAAUAAACAAAAGUUUGCAAGCUUGCAUCAACUAUGUAUACGAUUAAAGAAUUUUCUAGGAACUGUUACGUAGCUACGGGUGCUGACAAGGUUCGGGCUACUUAAAAUAAAAAACUUUCUAUUUAAGUUUUUAUUUUUUUAAUUUUAAAUUAAUAAAAAAUAAAAUUACAUUUUGACUCUCUAAAAAAUAAUAAAAAUUUAGUUUAAAGCUUAAAAUAUUAAAAUUACAUUUUUAUUAUUAUAAAAAUUAUAAUUUAAUUUCGAUAUUUCUAAAAAAUAUUUUCCACCUUCACAAUACAUUCACAAGAAAGUGUGAAUCUAUUAGGAAAUCCAUAACAUUAACAUGAAAUUAUGUAUUUUAUUCAAUCAAUAUGUAAGACGUUUGACGACAUUUAAGUAAUGAUUUUAGGAGAAAAUUUAUUGAGAAAAAAAAACUCUUAUUUGAGGAUCUAAUUUUAUUUGGUUCUAAAUUUAGUCAAGAUUUAAUACGUCUGUUAGAUAUUUAAAAGGUUUAAAUAUAAUUUAUUUUAUUAAUAUUAAAAUUCAAAUAGAAUAAAAUAACAUUUAAUCAUUAUAUUUGGAAUUUUUUGUAUAUUGGCCCUAGAUUUUUUUUUUGUCCGAUUUAAAAAAUUGUAACUUUUUCCAAUUUAUUUUUUGACUUGGAUUUCAUUAAGGUAUGGUAGUGAGGCAGUUUGAGAAAUUUAAAUAUUUUAAAUAUUUUUUAGAUUAUAUUUAUUUUAAAAUUUAAGUGAUGAUGUGACAUAAUUCAUAGUUUCACGUCACCUUACCUUAAUGGGAUCCAAAUUCAGUAACCAAAUUAAAAAAAAAAGUAGUUAAGUUCUGAAACUAAUAUAGACAAAAAAAAAUCGACCAAUUUUAAAGACCAAAUGAUGUUUUAACCUGAUUUAAAUACAUGUAGUGAUAUAUUAAUCUUUUUAUCAAAUUCAAAUGAAUCCCUUAACUUUCAAGAGAUCAUCUCAUUUCCGUUAUUAAUCAUGCAAACUAAGUGCAAACAUGCCCCACAUAAAAGAUCCACUAGUUCCUAAUAAAAAUUGUGUAUUAAUAAACUUUUUAAAAAAUUAUCUAUUAAUUUAUGCUCGAUAAUUUAAGUUCGAGACUCAUCAUACAUAAUUAUUUUAAAUUUAAGUUAAUUACAGAUAAAUUUUAUCUAAAUUAAGAUUAAUUACAUUUUAUAUUAAUUUUAUUCUAGUUAUAAUUGUUCAGACAUGUAAUAUGAUUGUAUCAAUAAUUUACUUAUUGAAUUUGAGUUUAAAUUAAAAAUAAAAAAUAAUUAUGAUCAAGAAAUCCUCAAAAUAAUAAUAAAAUACUCGAUUUUAGAUCAGUAAUAAUUGAGCCAAUUUUAUAAAAAAAAAAAUACAAGUCAUUGUAUCUCAUUUACACACAAAAGUAAAUUAUUAAAAAAAACCAUAGCUGCCCCCCAUUAUUCCUGAAGAGGGAAGAAAAAUCAUGCAAUUUCUACUAAUCUUGUCUGCUAUCCAACAUUAUGAUUAGAUUAAUUUUGAUUAUUCAUGCAUUAUGAUUCUUUUGUUUGUUUACAUCUUAAAAAUGUUUGAAAUUGACUUCACCUCAAUAAUUUGGAUGUAAAAAGCCAAAAAGAGAGAAAGUUACAUGCUUAUUCAAGGACUGAGCUACUUGCUUUGUUCUAAUAGGCUGGUUUUAUAUGAACCAAACUUUCAAUAUAUUUUGAAUUUAUAAUUCAAAUGAUUGAUUUGAUUAAAACUUUCUUAUUUAAUAAAAACAUUUUAUUUUAUUUAAAUUUAUGAAUUUAUUCAAUUUGAAUUUAAAGUAGAAAAUUUAGAUAUUUUCAAAUUUCCAAACACCUUUAAUCGUGAAUAUUGAUUUAUUUUCUAAUGUUUUAGAUGGGUAACUAUAAUAGUUACCUAACUAUGUCUUCAGGUUUAUUUUGAUCAUUCAAUUAUUAAUAUUUUAUUUAGUUAUUCAACUUUUUGAAAUAAAAAAUUUUAGUCAUUCUCUAGUUACGAGUGAUAGAAAGUUAAAAUGAGCUUUUUUUUAUUGACAUAUUAAUAAAUUUAGCUCUUCAAUGUUUAUACAUUCUAUUAAUUUGAUCUUAAAUUUAAAAAUUCAACAAAUUUAACUCUCAAUGUUUAUAAAAAUUGUUAUUUUAGUUCUAAUUCUAAAAGUUUUAAAAAAUAAAAAUUGUUAUUUAAAUUUUUUUGGAUAAAAAAUUAUAAAAAUGAUUUAAAAAUCUAAAAAACAUAAUAAAGUGUAAAUAAAAAUAAAAAAAUAUAUCAAAUGAUUCAAAAACAAAUGAUCUAUUGUUUACUUUUUAUUUAAAUGUCAAAUAAACAUUUGUCAGUUAUUUAGUCGUUUGUGCAAUUAAAAACCUUAUCAACUAUAUAUUGAAUAAUAAUAUGAUGUUUUUCAAGUUAGAGUUUUUUUGAGUUGAGUACUUUUAAAUUCAAUUUUUAUUUUUAAAAUUUAAACUUUUAACUCUUUAAUUAAAUUAAAUUUAAAUAGAUUCGAGAUCGAAUUUUUUCGGAUCGGAUUCUAGGACUUCCUCUAUAGAAAACAAAUAAUAGUAUAAUUAGAUAUUUAAUAAAAUAAAAGUACUUAGGCUGGAUUUGGAUGGACGAUUAGGUACGAUGCGAUAUGUUUAGUUUACUUUUUAUCUUACGCUAGAGUAUCGCUACACUAUUUUUACACUGCUUAUCCAAACUCAUCAUUAAUUGCUGCUAUGAUAUCCAAAUGCCGUUAUAAAUAAUAGCCACUCGCUUCGCUCCUCUUCGAGCCUCCCCUCGCUACUUCCCUCCUAAUUUUCAGGAAAAUAUACUCAGCCCACCGUCUCCGACAGUGUCAACCCGUAACCCAAUCUCUCAAAUAUGGAUCGACCCAGAUUCGUAAUCGACGCCGUCGAAGCCGAGCAAAUGGCCAAACAAUCAGGCAAGACGGUGCUCCAACUCCUUCCUUCUCUGGUCAAAUCAGCCCAGUCCGUAGCCCGCCCGCCGAUCUCGAAGUACCACGUCGGGGCAGUCGGGAUCGGGUCAUCCGGUCGGAUCUUUUUCGGAGCCAAUUUAGAAUUCCCGGGCUUGCCCCUCAACCAUUCCGUCCACGCUGAGCAGUUCCUUAUCACCAACCUUUCCCUCAAUGCAGAGCCGCGUCUUAAAUACAUCGCCGUCUCCGCCGCUCCUUGCGGCCAUUGCCGCCAGUUUUUCCAAGAGCUCCGCGGUGCUCCCGAUGUCAAGAUGCUCAUAACUUCCUCCGAUGAUGAAAAGGAAAACAAAAUAAGCAACACUUGUAAUGAUAAAGACCAAGAAUUUACCCCUUUGUCUCAUUUUUUACCUCACAGGUUCGGCCCCGAUGAUCUGCUAGGAAAAGAUGCUCCUCUCCUCCUCGAGCCUCGCCGGAACGGCUUGUCGUUUACCUCCGACAGCUGCGAGAACGACGAGUUAAAACACGCGGCUCUCGAUGCCGCGAACAUGUCGUACGCACCUUACAGCGGGUGUCCAUCCGGAGUGGCGUUGAUAGACGUUGAAGGGAAGAUAUACAAAGGGUCUUACAUGGAAUCCGCCGCUUACAACCCGAGUCUACCGCCGGUUCAGGCGGCAAUAGUCGCUUAUGUAGCCAGCGGCGGCGGAGGAGGGUACGAGAGGAUCGUCAGAGCAGUUUUGGUGGAAAAAUCCGACGCCGUUAUCAAACAAGAACACACUGCAAGGCUACUUUUACAGUGCAUUUCACCAAAAUGUGAAGUCAAGGUGUUUUCAGUGUAAAAAACUGUGAGUAUUUAGCUUCAAUUUAUUGCUUAUUUAUGAAUUUAAAAUGAUGAAAUCAUGGUGAAAAAUGGUAUCUAUGGAUUAAAUGAUGAAAACCCAGAAUGAACAUGUAAAUCACCAAGUGAAUAAUUGUGAUGAUUUGUUAUCUUUUGCAGCUUGAAAUAUAUUUUGUCCUGUGUUUUUGUUCUUUGUCUCUGUUCUUUAAUGGAUGAAUGGACUCCUUUUAGAUGUGAUGCUGAGAAACUGUUGGAUUGAUUGAUUGAUGAAAAAAGGUAUACCAAAAAAGAGGCAGACAUGAGAUUCCCAGUUCCACUUUUGAACUUGGUCCAUUUUUUUAGCUUUUGCUUUGAGUUGGUGGAUGGUGGAUCCCUGUUGUUAUUGAAUUGCUGCCAUCAAAAGCCAUUAAGCGCUCUCUCAUUACAACAGACCAUAUGAAUUGGUACUAUAGAUUUGACUCUGGUAAUCUUAUCCCUCUCUUCGUAAAUUGUUAAAUCUUUUAGAUUAGACAUAAACAAAACGAGUCGACUAACUGAGUCACCAUGGUCUCGAAAAACUCGAGUCAUCAAUGGUAUGAGAAACAUGAGUCCUUAUAGACUUGAGAAAACCUCCAUCAAGAGAGGAGCUGAGGGACAAAACCUCCAGUUAAAUUUAUUAUUCCGAGAAACCAUGGCCCUCCUAAGUCCGAAAAAAUAAAAAGGAGGCUGAUGGAGGAGAAGGAAGUGGUGGUGAUGGUGGAGAUGAGGGAAAAGAUGAAAGAAAGAGGAAGCGGAAAACGAAGAAGGAAGAGCAAUGAUGUUUGAACCGGUUUUUUAAAAUGAAAUUUUAAUCGAAUGGUUCAACUAGUAAAAUUCAAUACAGUAAUAAAUAAGUGAAUUUAAUAUUUUUUUUCUUUUACAAAAAUGAACUCAAAUAAUUUGUGAUCAUUUUAAGGCUGAAAAAAGGAUGGAAAUUGAUCGAUCUUAUCCACCAAAAGUGUCGACUCCAUUAUUUGGCUUUAUCAAAAUAUUGUGGCUUUUACUUAAAAGGAAAAAAAAGGGAAAAAAGUACAAAAUGUAUACCCAAUUAUCUUUAGUUUUUUAAAUUUAUAUAAUGAGUCUUUUACUAAAAUGUUACAAAAUAAAAAAUAAAAAUAUCAAAAUAAUAUACAAAAAAGUUUAUUUAUCAAAAUAAUACAAAAAAAAAAACAAAACAGCUGAAUGGAGGGCCUACCACAGACGGCACGCCUGUGGCAGAGGCGGCACCAACAUGUUCGUAUUUCAGCCCUUUGUUCGUAUUUUUUUCGAAUUUUAUUACUUUAAAAAAAUAUACUUUUUUCUAAUUUAUUAUUUUACAUUAUUUUAGUACAUUAUGCUAGAAAUGUAUUCAUUUAGUGUGUUUUUUAUUGAAAGUGAUAAAAUCCGGUAAAAAAAUAUGAACAAAUGGCCGAAAUAAGGGUUUUUUUUUUAAAUUUAUUUAAAAAACACACUAAAUGAAUACAUUUCAAACAUAAUGUACUAAAAUAAUGUAAAAUAAUAAAAUUAGAAAAUAGUAUAUUUUUUAAAGUAAUAAAAUCCGGAGAAAAAAUACGAACAAAGGGCCGAAAUAAGGGUUUAUUUUUUAAAUUUAUUUAAAAAACUCACUAAAUGAAUACAUUUCAAACAUAAUGUACUAAAAUAAUGUAAAAUAAUAAAAUUAGAAAAUAGUAUAUUUUUUAAAAGUAAUAAAAUUCGGAGAAAAAUACGAACAAAGGGCGGAAAUAAGGGUUUUUUAAAUUUAUUUAAAAAACAUAAAUCAAUAUAUUUCAAACAUAAUGUACUAAAAUAAUGUAAAAUAAUAAAAUACGAAAAUAUUAUAUUUUUAUUGAAAGUAAUAAAAUCCGGAAAAAAUACGAACAAAGGGACGAAAUAAGGGUUUUUUUAAUUUAUUUAAAAAACGCACUAAAUGAAUACAUUUCAAACAUAAUGUACUAAAAUAAUGUAAAAUUAUAAAAUUAUAAAAUAGUAUUUUUUUUAAAAAUGUAUUCAUUUAGUGUGUUUUUUAAAUAAAUUUAAAAAAAUUCUUAUUUCGACCCUUUGUUCGUAUUUUUUUCCGGAUUUUAUUACUUUCAAUAAAAAUAUGUUAUUUUCAUAUUUUAUUAUUUUACAUUAUUUUAGUACAUUAUGUUUGAAAUGUAUUAAUUUACUGUGUUUUUUAAAUAAAUUUAAAAAAAUCCUUAUUUCGGCCCUUUGUUUUUUUUCUCAGAUUUUAUUACUUUCAAUAAAAAUAUACUAUUUUCUAAUUUUAUUAUUUUACAUUAUUCUAGUACAUUAUGUUUGAAAUGUAUUCAUUUAGUGUGUUUUUUAAAUAAAUUAAAAAAAACCCUUAUUUCGGCCUUUUGUUCGUAUUUUUUUUCCGGAUUUUAUUACUUUCAAUAAAAAUAUACUAUUUUUGUAUUUUAUUAUUUUACAUUGUUUUAGUACAUUAUGUUUGAAAUGUAUUAAUUUACUGUGUUUUUUAAAUAAAUUUUUAAAAAAAACCCUUAUUUCGGCCAUUUGUUCAUAUUUUUUUCCCUGGAUUUUAUUACUUUAAAAAAAAUAUACUAUUUUCUAAUUUUAUUAUUUUACAUUAUUUUAGUACAUUAUGUUUGAAAUGUAUUAAUUUAGUGUGUUUUUAAAUAAAUUUAAGAAAAACCUUAUUUCGUCCCUUUGUUCGUAUUUUUUUAUCGAAUUUUAUUACUUUCAAUAAAACACACACUAAAUGAAUACAUUUCAAGCAUAAUGUACUAAAAUAAUGUAAAAUAAUAAAUUAGAAAAUAGUAUAUUUUUUAAAAGUAAUAAAAUCCGGGAAAAAAAUACGAACAAAUGGCUGAAAUACGAACAUGUUGGUGCCUCUUCUGCCACAGGCACCAUUGGUGCCGCCUGUGGCAGGCCCUCCAUUCAGCUGUUUUAUUUUUUAUUAUUAUUAUUUUAGUAAAUAAACUUUUUGUAUAUUAUUUUGAUAUUUUUUUUAAUUUUUUGUAAUAUUUUAGUAAAAGACCCUUAUAUAAUUAUUCAAAGGGUUAAAGUGAAUUACUGUCGUCUGGAUUCAGUUUAGAAAUUAUUGAAACUCAUUUCUUUUAUAAAACAACAAUCAUUAUUAUAAAAGAUAUAUAAUUAAUGAGAUUUAAACCUACUAAUAUAUCGAGACAUAAAUGUUCGAAGCUAAAGGCUUAAAAUAGGGAGAUAUGACUUGAGAUAUAAUCAUGUAUUUUAAUAUUUUGACCCAUAAAUCAUAAACUGUUUAUGUCUUUGAUUAUCUAUAACUCGAAACGUCACAAUUUGGCCCAUUUGAGUUCGAUUAACACUUGUAACAUCCUUUAAUUAACCGAUAUCUUGUUUAAUGUGCUUUAACCUUUGAACUUCAUAAAGUUGCAUGCAUAUAUGCUCGUUUUGAGUAGUUUUGAAAUAGGUAUAGUGCUUUGCAUCUUAUCAUCUUUCUAGUCGAGUUUAAUGUUAUCUUAAUUUUAUCAUUUCAACUAAAACUUCAUUUAUUUUUCACAUCAAUUUCUAUAAAUAUGUUUAUUGCACAAUCAAGGAACAAAGCCAAAAAAAAAUUUUAGGGGCUGAAAUUAAAUUGUAAAAUGCUAUUUCACUAGUUUAAUAGUUUAUAUUUUUAUAAUUUUUAAAGGAUUAAAUCAAAUUUUUCUUAUUUUUGGACCAAAGUAUUUUUCUUUACUAAUUUAAAAUUUUAAAAAUUUUAAAAGACCUAAAUAAAAAAAUUUCCGACCAUAAUCUUAUUAUUAUUAUUAUUUAUUCGAUAAUGCUAUGGAGAAUAGUUAGUCAAAUUUAAAUUGCCAUGAUUUUAAUUAAUAUUACGUUUAUCACGAUAUUUUAACUAAAGUCAUUACCAUCGAUUGCGAUGAAUUAAUAAAUAUCUGUAGCAUUGCUUAAAUAUCUAUAAAUUGACUAUGUCUUAUAUCAUUAUUACUAUAAAAUAUGUUAGGUAUUAAUCCAAAAUUGACAUUGCAGCUUGUAGUUUCCUUCGGUAUUUUAGAAUCAAAGGCUUAGUCUAAGUGCAAUGAAUGUAAAAAAGAUGGUCAAAAAAGAGUUAAAUAUGCUUGUCGUUAUGAUUUCAAUCUACAACUCAUGAUGUAUAUCUUCAUUUCUUUAUAUUUCUUAAAAGUAUUUGUAGUUGAAUAUAAAUAUAAUAUAUAUAUGUGUGUAAAAUUAUUAUUUUCAUUUUAAAUAAAUAUUUAUAUUUGAAAUUCAAGUAACAUAAGUGCUCAGGUUAAGUCUUAUAAUGUGUAUAAGUUUUCUUUUCAGAUUUAUUUUGAGUAUAAUUACUCAAACAUGUGUGUGUUUGUUGAUACUAAAAAUCAUUAAGAGAAGAGGUUGACAAAGGUACAAGGUAGUUCACUAUUCACCUUGGGAGGGCAGAGAGUCAUAGUAGAUUGAGAAGUAACGAAGGAGGAGGAAGAGGGGAAAAUGAAAGAGAGGAGUCAAGAGAGUGGGAAUUGUUUAUUUUAUCUUUACUUUUUACUAAGGGGAGAGAGUUGUUAUAUGAAAGGUAUGUGAUGCCAUGUGUAAGCAUCUUAUUGACAAAUGCGUCACGUCCUUGUCUCUUUAAAAAGGUCGCAAUGUGACACUAUAAAUCGGUAAUGUGAUAAUGUAGAAUGAUUUAAAGAGUAAAGAUUAUCUCUUCAUGAUUGAAGGGCUCAAAGUGUUGUAUGCCAAUUGAUUUCAUUUUUGGGAUGCUAAAAUUACACUUAAUUAAGCGGUAUUUAAGAAUGAUGUGCAAAUGUGGUAUAACAAUGUCUAUAUAAUUUAAGAAAUACCACUUUUAAAUAAGAAAGUAAAGAAGUGAUGAAGUUGAAAACUUGAAACCAAAAUUAUCUUUAUUUUUGCCUUUAAUAUAAAGUUAUAAACAUGAAUGAUUGGUCUCAUAAGGAGUUAUCCAACAGGAAGUGAUUGAUUUUUUAUUGUUAACAAUCAUUCAAUCAUUUUAAUUAGUUACAAUCAGAUUAAUUUAAAUUUAAAUAUAAUUUAAUCUGAUUUAAUCCAAUCCAAAUAUAAAUUAACUUAAACUCGAAUCGAUCAAAAUCCAAAUUAAUAUGAAUCUGUAAUGACUUAAUUUGAACCCCAAUUCUUAAAUCGAAUGACCCAAACUUAAAAUGAUAUAAAAUAAUCUAAAAAUCCAAACUCGAAAUAACUUAAAAAUUACUCUAACUACCCAAUUGAUGGGUAUCCAUUCAAUAUUUUAAAAUUUUCAGCAAUUGUUUUUGAAAAAAAUUAAUACGUAUCUUAGAUUUAGUCCAUUAUCUCUUUUGUACCAAAACAGUUGAUUCACAAUAGAUGAAAAACAAAAUUUUAAUAGAGAGGAAGGUGGUAUAUGAUGAUACAUAUUAAACUUAAUCAACAAAGAAAUGACUUAAUUCUUUCCAUUCAUAGUAUAUGAUUAUAAAAUUGAAACAACAACAAUGGAGGCAUUCAAGAGGAAACAACAUUCUUCAAUGCCGUAAGCAGCGGCGGCCACGGUGAAUGGUCAGUCCAUUAACAUUGCGAUGCAUUGAUGUCCUUUUCAUCUCCGACGAACAAAUCAUCGGUAGUUCUAAAGAAUCCGUGUGCCAAAACGACCGUCAAUCCGAAUGUAAUGCCGCUCAUGAUAUUACUCAUCACAUCGGUCAAGAAAAACACGGCGAUGGUAAACAAUGUCAAGACCGUUAUGAUCAUGUUACGGUCGAUGACAAAGCCGUAAAUCGAUAAAGGGUUGUCGCGUAAAAAGUAUUGUAAAAACCACGCGAUCAUUAUAACGACAAUGAUCACCAAUGAGGUUGGGUGGAAAAACAAAGUGAGGAGGAGGAGAAAAAGCACGACAAUCACAUAAUUCGUCUUGAAAAACACGAUAUUUGUUCUAAUUCUCCCUACCGCUUCGUUUAUAUUCGGGGGUAAGUUUAAUGCUCGAAUAUUGAUCAUGUCUUCCCAUUUUCUUCGUGAGCCGAGGCCUGAUCCGAGAAAUUCUCGUGCUUGAACAAUUAAGCUCAAUGACUGUUGUGGUAACUCGGUCGGAAUGGUUCCAUAUGUUGUCAUUUCUUUUUAAUUUUAAUUUUUGAUAUGCAAAGAGUUUUUGGCCUUGAGGGCUAAAUGUCAAAGAAGGAAGAAAGAUGGAAGAAAAUAAACAAAAAAUAAAGGGAACAAUUUGGUUUGUUGUUAAUUGCUAACUUUGAGGUCAAGUUUUGAUGGAAGAAAUAAACAAAAUUUUGUUGUUUAAUUUUGUGGUUUAAAGUUAACCCACGUUGGUUAAGUGUUUAGGUGAAUUCGUUACAUAAAUUAGUUCAAGAUCUUAUCUUAUUCGUGUAUUUAUUUUUAAAUGAUGAGAUCUAAUAAAUUUAAAGUUUGAAUUUCGAUAUUUAUAACAUGUUCUUAUUAGAAUUGAAUCCAAUUCAAUUUGACUUUAAAAGAAAUUCAUAAUGAAACCCAUUAUUUUCAUAAUCGGAUAAGAUCAGUUGGUUAAAUCAAGAAUCGAUACUAGUUCAGAAUAAGAGGUUAGAUUGGUUGAUCUAUGAACCGAUUGCACCAAUCAAACUGACGAUUAAAUCAGUUGAACUGAUUUUUUUCUUUCUUUUUUUUAAGUUUACCCGUGUUGCGUUUCCUGAUUACUUUUAGAUUUCUUUUUGUGAAAUCGGGCGAUUGGAUCAACUUGAAGAUCACACUAUUCGACUAUCUUUUGAUAUAUAUUAAAAUUAAUAUAUUUUAGUUUUAUGGCGUAUAAUAGGACUAUCUUGUAAUUAUAUAUAAAUAUUUAUUAUAAGUGACAUGUUUUUAGCUUGUAUAUAAGUGUAUGUUUGUGGUUAAUAAUGUGAUUCAUCAUGGAUUAGUAUAUGAUGAUGUAAUGGUUUGGACUUGUAUUGGGAAGAUAUAAGUAUAGUAGAUAGAAUGGUUGAGUGUUAAAGGUAUAUUUGGUUAUUAGAUGCUUGGUUAAUGGUUAAUGAAUAUGAAAUGGUACUUUGAUUGUUGAUUUUGAAAAGUUUUAGUUAGAUUAAGUGAAUUGGUAUAUGUUGCUAAAUGACAAAAACUAAAACUAAAAUAAGUACUUCUGGAAAAUAAUAAAAUAAAUAAUACAUUAAAUUUAAAAAAUAAAUGUAACUAUCUAAAAAAUUUAACUCCGUAAACAAAUUUCUCAUAAACAAACGUGUGAAAUAUUGAAAUCUUUUGAAAGAAAAGAAAGGUUAAAACCUUGAAUUUGUUUAUUAAAUCAGUUAGAAAAAAACAGUUUGAAAAAAAAAUCAAAGGUUGAUGAUAAAAAAAGGCUCAAAAUACAAUUAAAACUAUUUUGACAAAACAUACAAACGUUAGUGGCUAAAUUUAUCUUUAAGCCUUUUAAAUUUAUUGUUUACUUAUAAAUAUUGAUGUGAGCUUAUAUUCUAAAUAGAAUACUCACUAAAGCAGCUACGUAUAAUUUUGUUUUUGUUUUUGAUUUAUUCUUAAUGGUCUGACAAACUAAAAGGUAAAGCUCGAUAUGGCAAGUUAGCAACCAUAUGCAAAAGAUUAGUAGGUCAAGACUCGAGUAACGAAACUUGUGCGUGGUGUCAAAUUAGCAAUGACUCCCUCGGGUUGACGUGCAUAGAGAAGCCUGUUGGAAAAAAAUAGAAUUUUUGGAAGCUUUAAGGCAUAUUCUCGAUUAGUAAAAGUGGAUAUUUGAAUAAUAAAAUUAUAGUUUUAUAUUCUAUCCCAUGAGACCUUUUAUGUUGAGGAAAAUGGACAGCAUAGUCUCACAUUAGUUAGAUAUCAAGUGUGGAAUAUGUUUAUAUAUAUAUGAAUCAACUUGGUGGUUAUUGAACUUGUUUUCGGGCCGGGCCUAAAAUUUUGGUUGGGUCUAACCCGACCCAUGUACACCUCUAGUUAACACUGCAUGUAUAUCUUUUUGGAUAAAAUUUUUUAUUAUUUUCAGAAAAAUAAAAUUUUAACAGUUUUAUUUUUCCAGUUUAUUGUCUAAAAAAUUGGUAUUUUUUUACUAUUGGGCACGAAAAUAGUGGAGUUGUUUCAAAUAGUUCUUGCAUUUUUUUUUACUUUUUUGCUCCUAUCUAUUUACCGUUUUGCCCCUCUGUUACUAGUGUAAAUAGAGGGUCAAUUUAUAUGUUUCUUCAACUUAAAUUUUUUGGUUUGUUGUCUUUUGCUCUCUUUUCUUUGCUUGAGCACCAAAAGUAUUGCUACUUCUUUUGAAUCGAUUGUAUAUCAUUUAAAUCGAUUUUUUGUUUCUUUAAACUGAUUUUUUUUGUUGAUUGAACCGAUUCUUUUUACUUUUUGAAUCGAUUCAUUGGUAUUUAAACUCGAUUCAAAUGCCAACAAAAAUAAAUAAAUACAAUGGAUUUCUAUGAAUGGUAGCAACAAGCGGUAAGUAUAUCUUAACCUUGAACACAAGGGUAUUAGUAGGUAUAUUAGACAAAGUAAAUGAGCUAAAUUUUUGAAAAUAAAAAUAUAGAGACUAAAUUCUAAAUUUAUGGAAAGUACAUAGACUUAUGACAUUUAACAUUCAUACUACAAAAUAUUUAUUAUUAAUAUAUUUAUAAUUGUAAUAAAUAUUUAUUAUUAAAAUAUUAAUAUUAAAUAUUUUUCAGUAAUAUAUGAAGAAUAUAAUUUAAAAUUUAUUAUUGAAAUAUUUAAUAAUUUAUUAAAAUAAUAAAACAUCAUAUGAUUAGAUAUAGAUAAUUAAAUAUGUAUGUUUACUAAUAAAAGUUAUAAUAUUUUAUAUUAAUAUUUUAAAAAUAAAAAUUUAUUAUUAAUAUAAUAGUAUUAAGCUUGAUUUAAGUUAAUUUUUAUACAAAAAUAAAAUCACCCAUAAAAGAGUUGUGUUUCCACUAUUUUACUAUUGUUUUUUUGUUGUGUUUUGUUGUUGUUUUACUGUCGUUUUGCUGUCAUUUCGCUGUUGUAUUGUUACUAUUUUAUUGUUGUUAUUGUUGUUUAGAUAUUAUGUAAUGACCCAAAAUUUACGGGCAUCAGAAAAGUAUAAUAUCGGGCCUCCGUCUUAGUAAACUGAGUCUGAAAAUAAUUAUUAGAAAUAUUUACUAGACUAGUUGUGUAUUUAAUUAGGUUUUAGAAAGGUGAAUUUAGCUUAAUUAAGAGUAAUUAGGAAAAAGGAUUAAAAUGAAUAAAGGGUAAAAGUCUAAUUAUAAAUCAAAAGAAAAUAAAAAGGAUUAAAAUGGUAAUUAAGCCAUUAAUAAGAAAUGGGACGGUAAAAGUGAUAAAAAUCUUAGAUUUUUAUGUUUUAUAUAUAUUAUUUUAUUAUAUAAUAUAAUAUAUUAUAUUGUAUUAUAUUACAUAAAUUAAAUAGAUGACAAAUGUAUGGUAAAAAUUAAGACAAGUGUAAUAGUAAUAAUUACAUAGGUACACUUGUAAUAAAAAUAAAUAUAUAUGCUUAAAUAAUAAGUAAAAGAUUUUUAUUAUUAUUAAUAUUAUUAGUUAUAAUAAAAGAAAAAAAGUAAAGUAAAUAAAAGAAAGUAAAGAAAUAAAAACAAAAGAAAAGAAACAGAAUAGAAAGAACAAAGAAACAGAGAAGCAAACGAAACAGGGGAAGAAAGAAGAAAAAAGAAAGAAAAAGGGAAAAAUAGAUUUUUUUAAAGCUUGGAGUUAAUUAGCCCUUUUCUCUUAGUUCUAAUGUUUUAAAAGCUUUAAAACAAAGUUUUGAUGGAAUCAAGUUGAUAUUUUGUAAGUUCAUAGGUUUUCAAGAAUAGUUUAUGUUGAACAAAAGAGAUGAAUUAGGGAUUAAAUUGAAGGAAUUUUAAGUUAGAAUCGAAAAAGGGAUUAAAUUGUAAAAGAAACUAUAAGUUUUAUGUUUUAAGGACUAAAUUUAGAGAAAUUCGAAAUUAGCAAAAUAUGCUGAAAUUUUGAUAGUUAAAUUUUAGUUUGGAUUAAAUUGAGAAUUAGGAAGAAAUUGAAUAGAAAUUCAAUUAUUUAUUAUAAUUAGUGCUGUAGUUAAUAGUAUAAAUUAUUAUUAUUUUCGUAGCUAAUAAAGAACCUGAGGCAUCGCCGUCAAAAGGAAAAGGGAAAGCUAUCGAGGACUAAAGCGGGGGAUUUACGGUUUGUAUUACUAUAAUUCAAAUUAUUUAUUUUAAAUGUUAAAUUUUAAUUUAUGUGUUUAGUAAAUGAAAUGUGAAGUAAGUAUUAAUAUUAGUAUUAAUAUAAAUAUUAGUAUUAAUAUAAUUAUUAGUAUUAUUAUUAUUAUGAGUGGGAAUUAAAUUGAAUAGUUGAUAUGAAAUAAUAUUUGAAUUGUUUGUUGAUUGAAAGUGGGAAAUGAAUUUGAAUCGAAUUGUGAAUGGUAUUAAAUUGUAUGGAAAUGUAUUGAGUUGUGAAAAUGUGUGAAUUUGUGAAAUAACUAUUGAGUGAAAGGUGGAAAAAUGAUUGAAUUGAAAAUGUGAGAAAUUGUGAUUGAAUUGAGAAUAUAUGUGAUUUAAAUACCCUAUUAACUAGUCGGGCUGAGUCGGAUAUAGUUGGCAUGCCAUAGGAUUGGAAGAGUUCAGGGAUACUUCGACCUCGAGUCGAUGAGACACUGGGUGUCACUAUAUUUCUUCGGAUAGAUUCGAUGAGGUACUGGGUACCAACUUACUUCGGCUUGGCCGAUGAGACACUGGGUGUCAACUAUUGCUUCGAACUAUCCGAUGAGGCACUGGGUGCCAUUCUGGUGUGUUUGGUUGGAUCCGUGUAUCCGCCAAAGUCCGAGUUUUGUUAAUAGGGUAAAUGAUGAAAUGAUAAACCGAACGAGUUGGUCAAACGAGCUAUUGAAAUGAUAUGAAAAAGUUGAAUUGUGGAUUGAAAUGUGAAAUGAGAUUGAGAAAUGAACCUAAGGUUCAUGAUUUAUUCAAACUCAAAUUGUGGAUAUACGAUAUUGGUUGAUGAAUUGCUAUUGUUGAAAUAUUGAAUUUAAAUUGUAUAUACGAAUUAUGCAUUACAUGUUUAUUAUUGUUAUAAUUUGAAUUAUGGUAAUACCACUGAGUAUGAAAUACUCAGCGUACGGUUGUUUCCGUGCGCAGGUCGAUAGAAGUCAAAGGUCCCGGUUCAGCAUCCAAAUUAAUCCCGACUUCAGCAUAACUUUGGUGAUGUAUAUUUUCUUUUGGUUAAUGUGGCAUGUACAUAGGAUGUAUAUAAAGGUUGUUAUGUUUUAAUAUAAAUGGUUAAAAAAAAUGUUAGUAUUAAAAGUUUAUGAAUUAUUAUGAAAGAAGUUUAUCUAUUUUGAUUUAUUUAUUACCUUGUUAAAUUUUAAAUUGAUAUUAUGUUGAUUGAGUUUGAUUAGAAGUAAUUAGAAUAGAAAAUGUGAAUGUGGAAUGAAUUGGUUGAUUUGGUUAUAUUUGGAAAAGAUAUGGUUUUAAUUGCAGGGGGUUCUAUGUAAAAAUAAGCAGAAAUGCUGCCGAAAUUUUUAUAAAAUUUAUAAAAAAAAAGAGAUGAAGUCAAUUGGUAAAUAAACAUAUGAUUUUAUGAUUUUAUUUCAAUAUGUUUGUUAGUUAUUUAAGAGUUCUUUUUGUAAACCGUCUGAUAUGUCCGAUAAUGCCUCAUAACCCUGUUCCGGCGAUGGUUCGGGGUUAGGGGGUGUUACAUAUUAUAUAAUUCCUGUUUUAUUGUUAAUUUUGCUAUUAUUUUAGAGGUAUUUGUUAAAGUUAUACCUAUUUUAGUGUUAUUUAAGUAUACUUUUUAAAUUUAUUUUCAAUUUGUUGAGAAACAUUUAUCUUAAUGUUUUUAGUGUAUUUAAUGUAUUAUAUUUUAAAACUUGUUUUAAUAUGAAAAACUUAUAUAUAAAUAAAUUUAAUAUGGAUGGGUUGGACUCGAAUUUUAGUAUUUUUAUCAAAUGGGCCUGAAAUUUUGUUAUGAUCCAGCCUGACCCAUGAUCACCUCUACCAAGUUUCCACCUCCUUAAAAAAAUGAUUUGGUUUUUACACAAUUGCCCUUAUUUUUCCUCAAUUUACAAGUUUUUGAAAAAAUCAGUCCAUACCCGCUGGAUGUCUUACCUUCAGUAUGUCGUCAUUGGAGAGAUCUAUUAAGAAGCCCUCUUGCACACUCGAGGUUUCGAGUAGAUGGUAAACUAUUCUCCCUUUUUUUAAAAGGUUUAGUCGUAAAAUAUUUAGUCUCUUAUUUACAUUUGAUUUGUUUUGACAGGUGUUUACGUGUGCAAGAAGGCAAGUGCUAACCCGUAUGAUCAGGUAAGCUAUCUUCAAAUAUAAAUAAUCAAAAAUAUUUUGUACUUGUUUUUUUUUAUUUUUAUCAAUAUUUUAUAGGCAGUGGAAUCUUUUCUCAUCCUAUGACUUUCUCCCUUUGGCAGCGUAUUUUAUAAGGUAGGUUCUCUCUUAUAGAAUAGAUUUUUUGUUGUUGAUGAUAUACGUUAUUGUUAUCUUCUUUUUUUUCGUUAUUAUCACACUAAAAUCAAUAAUUGGUGGAAUGGGCCCUGCCCUAGAUAUUUAUAAAGGAACAUAUAUGGUGUCCAAAAAUAAUAUGGUUUGUUCUUUCUUCAAACUAGUUCUGUGUUUUUUUUAACUAUUUAAAAUAAUAUGUUUUUAUGAUUGGCAAAUUAACAUUGAAAUCUAACACGGUAGUUUUGAUGAUAUUUUAAAGAUCGACUUUAUGUAGGUUUUUUGUUGGCUUUGUUUUGGUGUCAGUUUUUGGAAUAUUGUCUUGUCAGCUUGAUUAAUUUAUUUUUCUAUCUGCAAAUCUGAAUUUGAAGGCUGAACUUCUUCGAAAAUAUCACACAUGCUGCUAAAUGAUGCGAGAAGAGAGCUGAAUUUGUUUAGUAUUAGUGAGUGCAGGGAACGAUACUCAAACUUUAAAUUUUACUUAAAAGUUAUGCAACAACAUUUUAUUUUAUUUUAUUUUUCAAAAUUUUCAUUUUAAAUCAUGCCACAUAAGGGAAGAGAGUCCUCUGUUUAUAGACAAAGCGUUAAAACAUCAACGGUUAAGAUUAAGUUACAUGGUCCACUAAAGAUGGUGGAGAUCUAAUCUCAACUAACUCCCAGCCACUCAUAAUAAAUGUUAUAUAAGAAGUGUGAUCAAGUGUGGACAAGCCUAUGUACAUCCAUCUAGAAUCUUCCAAAGGUUUUGUAACACCCAAACCUAACUCGAUCAAUGGAUCCGAGUAUGGUAUGUCACAACUUAAAGAUAUGUGAAUUUAAUAAAGAACUCUUAAAAUUUUUGAAAGCAAUGAGGUCUUGGCGUAUACCUCGAAUUUGGUAUAAACCCUAGUAAAUUAUUAAAAUUUUAUUAAAAAAAAUUUAUUGUUCGAUUCAAACAUUAUUUAUUUUAAUGUGAUAGUGAAUAUUAAUUUUGAUUUAACCCAAAAAGAAAUAUGAUGAAUUUCGAAUAGACCUAAGGUUAAUUUUUAAAAAAAGUUUGAGGGAGCUUCAAUUCUUCAAUUGUCCGGGUCUAAUAGGGUUGAAGUUAAUCCUCUACCCCAUAAUAAUUACCAAUAUAAUAUUUCUAAUAUGAUUACAUCUAGAAAACAAUUAAUAUCAUUAAAAAAUUAAAAUUUAUUAUUCUAUGUUGAUAAAUAAAUAAAAUAAAACUGUGGCACAAAUUAUUAUAGAAUGGCACAUUCGAAAAUUUAACGCAUUUUAUGAUUGAAGUCAAAGAGAAUUUCUUUUAAGAUUUAUCUUCCUUAUUGGGAACAUUCAUCUAAUUUGGUUUCUUUCCUUCUAAUGGUGAGUUUGGAUGAGCAGUGCGUUUACUUGCGGUUAGUGUAAAAAUAGCGGUGACGGUGAGAUUAGAUACUGUAGCGUGAGACAAAAAGUAAACUAAACGCACCGCACCCAGUCGCGCAUCCAAACCCACCCUAAAUUAGGUAUGUACAUCACAUGUCAAUAUGUUUUCACCUUGUUUUAUUUAUUAUCUAAUUUAUAUGAUAUGAAAUUAAACUUUUUAAAUUUUAUAUCUUAAAAAAAUCUUUUAAUAGUAUGUACUUGGAGAAAAAUUUUCAAAAAAAUAAAAUAAAAUUGAAGGAUUGAAUUAAUGGUUAUUACAGGAAUCAGGAAUGUUGAGAGGAUGAAUUUGCAACAAUCGUAUUGCCAAGCAACGUUUCAUACAGCAAACUUGAGACAGUUAUAUUCAUUGAUUGCUUUGAAUUUUUUGGAGAAAGCAUGAAUUUUGAAGAAGUUGAGUAUAGGUUAUGAUCAUACCAUUGAUAUGACUGAAAUGCUUAUUGUGUUCCACUUUUUAGAGAAAAUGUUGAUCUCGAAGGAGCUAGUUAUAGGUUUAGGUUACAAUAUAAACAUUGAUAAGAAUAAUAGGUUCGACUUUUAUUAUACGAAUGUAUUAUUUUUGAAGAAGGUUAUGAUAUAUAGGGUGGGUUUGGAUGCGCGAUUGAGUGCGGUGCGGUGCGUUUAGUUUACUUUUUGUCUCACGCUACAGUAUCGCUACAGUAUCUAAUCUCACCGCCACCGCUAUUUUUACACUAACCGCAGGUAAACGCACUGCUCAUCCAAACUCACCCAUAAUCAAUCAUAAUAAUUGGUGCAUGUUUCUCUUUGAUUUUUAACUUUAAUUUGUUUACUUUUUAUGGUCAAAUUUAAUUUUGAAUUGAUUUUUUUGAAUUUAUAUCAAAAUUAAUAAAUUUAUUUCAAAUUUUAAUGGUGAUCAAAUCGAAUUAAAUCCAAAACUGUUGUAUUUGAGUUUAGGUAAGGUCAUUUUUUUUUCAUAAUUUUCAUUUAUUUUGAGGAUGCUUAAAUUUUGUGCUUAAAAAUAGGAAAAGAAUUUUUGAAAUUUGAUUAAAUUUAUUAAAUUAAAUUAAUUUAAGUUUAAAAUGUAAUAGUAAAAUUUGAUGCAUCGUUAAAAUUAAAAUUAAAAAAAAUUCAAUUGUGUUAUGAAUAUCGAUGUCCAUCAAGAUCAAGAUAAGUUUUAAUCUACUUUAAAUUCUAAUAAUCAUUAGAAGUAGAUCAAUUUAAAUUAACAUUCAUAAUUUAAGGAUUUCUAGUGCAAUUAAUCCACAUGAAUAAUUAAUGUUAAAAUAGUUAAUGGGUCCUACCUACACAACAAAAAUGGUGUGCGAAUCUCCUACUGUGGUGGAUGUCUUUUGGCCUCCUUUUCAGAGUACAAUUUGGCGAGGUGGCACGAACUGAUUGGCUCAAUUUGUACUCCAUUUUGUUAAAUUUUCUUUUUUUUUAAAUAAUAGUUUGACAAUUUAAUAUUUUAAAAACACUGAAAACGAGCAAGGUACGAGAAAGGACAUUUUGAUAGAAAAGAAUAAGACACGUGGAUACCAAAAAAAUAAAAGGGAAAACGACGCCCAAGACCACUAAACUAUUAGUAAAUUUAUAUUGUAGUCACUUAAUUUUAAAAAGUUACAAAGUUGCUAUUAAAUUAUUUAAAAAUUUUCAUUUAAGUCAUUGGGCUAUUAAAAUCGUUGUCGUAUAGCCUUCUCCAUUCAUACUACCCAAGCCAAUGAAAGCUCUCAUUCACAUUCUCUUCUACAGUUCAAUGUUUUUCUCAUGAAAUAGUUUUGAAGUUGUGAAUUUGUGAACCAAAAUCCUAACAACUUUCUUCUUCAAUCUCCAAAACUAACUAUCAAAUCGCCUUGAAUUUAAGGCACGUUCUUCUACUUGUCGAUAGGUACUGAUCCACUGUACCAUUCAUUGAAUUAUCGUUUGGAGCUCGCUAGCCAAACUUUAAAAAAAAAAAGAAAAAAAACUCAAUAUCUUAAAUAAAAACUUACGAAUAAUUCAAAGACCAGUUUGUAACUUUUUAAAGCUGAGUGACCAAAACGUGAACUUAUUAAUAGUUUAGUAAUAUUGUGUGUUGUUUACCCAAAAAAUGGCUUUUCCUUUUAUACUUAAAAGAGUCAAUUUUAUUAUAAUAUUAUAGUAUACUUAAUAUUUGUUUAAGCUCGGUUCAACUUGAAAUAUAAGUAUCAAAUUUUACUUGAAUUUAUUUAUAUUUGUAAAUGAUUAACUCAAGUUUGAUUUUGGUUUGCUCAUAUUAUUUUUUAUUUAAUUUUAUAUUCUAAUAUUUUGUAUUAAAAUUUUAAAUAUGGGAAAUUAUGCAAAAAGUCUAAUAUUUAUAUUAUAGUGUCAUAUAUUAUUAUAAACUUAAUUUUUAUGUGAUAUAAAUUAUUUAAUAUGUAAAAUUAAAUAAUAUAUAAUACAUUAUUAGAAAACGAGACGGCUCAAGGUUAGGUCUUAAAUGUUGGAAUCCAAACUAAAUUCAUAUUUUAAAUGGAUUUAAUUUUUUUUGUUUAAAUCCAUUUUUCAAAUCUAAUAUUUUUGUCUAAACCCAUUCGAAUUUCAAAUAAAAUUUUGAAAUUAAACGGAUAACUUGACCCUUGAACAGGUCUGCUCUUGCACUUACCCACAUGGUGACAUCUCAUUCAAUAAAUAAGACUAAUUAUGGUAAUUGAUUUUGGAAGACGGUUAUUAUUUUAAAUAAUCUAAUUAAUAAAAAAAUUAAAGUAUUUUAAAAAUAUUUUACCCCAAAAUAUUAUGUUUUUUUUCAAAUUUUAUCUCUAGCAACAUUAUAAAAAUAAAAAUUUGGUUAUCAGUGUUAAAAAAUUAUAAAAAUAAAAGGACAAAAUUAUGUAAAAUUAAAAAAAAACAGGGAUUAAAAUUUAAAUUUCAGCCAAAUAUGACCUACUUUUUAAAUAUUAUUUUAAAUAAGGUUAAACAAUGAUUAGCCAUUUCCCUAAACAGAAAAUAUAGGAGAAUGCAGACAAGUAAAAGAAAUGGAAAAGCAAAAUAAACGUGGGAAUCUCUCUCUAUAUAUACAUAUAUACAGCUUAGAACACUGAAUUUCUCCGCCAUUAAUUCCUUUGAAAAUCUCUGAAAACCACUCAGAUUGUUCAAAAGAAAGAAUCAAUGAAAAUGGAAGAGUCGGCGGCGGAGAAAGAGAGCACCGGAGCCGCCAUUCGCUACGGAGACGAUGAUCAGAAAGCUUCGUUAGAAGCAAAGGAAAUGAGUGUCGUCGAUGAUAUGAUCAAUGGUGGAGAUUUAUCGUCGUCUUCAACGGAUAUUUUGGUGAAGCCAAUGGAAGGGAUAAACGGGUCGGGUCCACCGCCAUUUUUGACGAAAACGUUUGAGAUGGUUGAAGAUCCGGAAACCGACCCGAUUGUUUCGUGGAGUAUCCAUCGCAAUAGCUUCAUUGUUUGGGAUUCUCAUAAGUUCUCUGAAAAUCUCCUUCCCAAAUAUUUUAAGCACAAGAAUUUUUCAAGCUUUAUUCGCCAACUCAACACUUAUGCAAGUCAUUUUAAUUUAACCCCAAUAUUUCUCUAAAUUUUGCAGUGAUUUUUUUAAAAAAUAAUACAAAUUUCCGGGUUUUCUUCAGGGGUUUAAGAAGAUUGAUUCUGAUAGAUGGGAAUUUGCAAAUGAAGGGUUUCAAGGAGGAAAGAAGCAUUUGUUGAAGAAUAUUAAGAGGAAAAAUAGAUAUAAUUCAAGUAAUAUUAAUACUGAAUUGGAAGCUGAGAUUGGGAUUUUGAAGAAAAAUCAGAGUGAAUUGAAGAUGGAAAUUAUGAAAUUGAAGCAAAAAAAUGAUGAAUCUAAUGAUAAACUGGAAGCUGAGAUUGGGAUUUUGAAGAAAAAUCAGAGUGAAUUGAAGAUGGAAAUUGUGAAAUUGAAGCAAAAAAAUGAUGAAUCUAAUGAUAAACUGAGUGUUUUCGAAGAUAGGAUUCGAUUUGUUGAGCGUAGGCAACAACAAAUGUUGAAUUUCUUAGUUAAAUUAGUGAAAUUCCCCAUUUUGUUUCAGCAAUUGAUGAAGAAGAAACAUGUGGAAAAGAAAGAGCUUGAUGAAGGGGAAUUUAGUAGGAAGAAAAGGAGAUUGCUUGAGACACAAGUCACUAAGAGUUUGCUUGAGCUUAUGGGAACUGAUCAAACGGUCACAAAGAGCUUCAAUGAACCUAUGGAGACUGACCGGAGGGGGACCAAGAACUUGCCUGAGCCUAUAGGGAGGGUCACCAAGAACUUGCCUGGGCCUAUGGGGAAUAGCCAAAGUGUCACAAAGAGCUUGCCUGAGCCUAUAGGGACUGACCAGAGGGUCACCAAGAACUUGCCUGAGCCUAUGGAGACUGACCAGAGGGUCACCAAAGACUUGCCUGAGCCUACGGGGACUGAGCAAAGUGUCCCAAAUACCUUGCCUAAGCCAAUGGAGACCGACCACACAAAGACCUUGCCUGAGCCUAUGGAGAUUGGCGAAAGUGUCAGCAACUCUAAAAACCAAGUUGAUCAAGUGCUGGAACCAAUGCAAUCUGAUCACUUCUCAAAGUUUUUGCUUGAUUGUAUGGAGAAAGACUAUUGGGUUUCCAUGGAAGAUCAAGAGAACAUCGAUGCACAAGAAAUGUCAUCUGUUUAUCAUGUUAUGGCCGAAAACCUAUUAGGCGAAAGCUCAUGUGUUGAAAAUGCAACAAAUGAAGAGUUAUCAGUGAAUGAUUCCAAGGUUUAUCUUGAAUUGGAGGAUUUGAUCAAUUGGAAACCCUCUAACUUGACUGGAUUGGUCAAUGAUCUGCUAGUGGAACAAACUGGCUGAUACAACUAUAUAUCCGACACAGGUUUGUUCUAUUUCAUCCUCUAUGUACCAUCAUAUCUCAUAUCUAUAUCUGUAUCUGAAGUAAACAAGGAUAUCGUACAUGCUUUCUUAAUGUAGAUGCCAUUGGUUGCAGGAAGGUGACUGCAAGUGUAUCGAGGCUUGAAGCUGAAAGCAACAAAGGUUUAUAUAGCUCUCUAUAUUACUGCUUUCCUUAAGAUUGUGAAAACUUCAAAUCAUAUAUAACAGUAUAUAUAUACAACAAUGUCUAGUCCUUUUUAACAUAUAUAUACAUAUAUAUAGUUAUAUACCCUUUACCCUUUAUUUAUCAAAUUCUGCUACUUCACUUAAAAGGUUAAAAAUUGAAAUCAACGGUGUUACAUAUUUUGAUGCUUGGCUUACUUGCAAUUCAAGGAACUUAUGGAUUUUGUACCUCCCUCUUACUUGUUUAUGUGUUCUUUGUACUUCAGUUUUAUUCUUAUGAUUAAUUCGAUAGUUAGGGGCUUUCUCUUGUUUUAUUUUUUGUUAUCCAACCAUUUCCUUUUUUAAAAAAAAUGAAAAUAUUUGUUUCUUUCUUCUUUCUACUAACAUAAAAGAAGUCAAGAAUUUUCUGUUUCAAGAAAUUUGUAUAUUUUUCAGGGAAAAAACAAGUCAUUUUUGUUUAUGCAAUUAUCCAAAAUUAAAACUCAUCCUUUAUUAAUAAAAAUAUUUUUAUCUAGAAUUAAUUAUAAAAUUAAUAUUUAAAUAUUAUUGUGAACAAUAAUAUUCUCUUUAAAAUUGUCCAACCUUUGUCCUAUCCAAACUAUGGCUUGAUUCAUAAGCAAAUUUAAAUUAUACAUGUCCAGACUUGAACUUAACCCAACCUGAAAAGCCAUUUUCACUGUAAAUUAUAAAAUAUUAAAAAAAAUUUGUAAAUCUAAAUAAUUUUUUUAAUUCCUACCUGAGAUAAGAAAAUAGAAAAUAUAGAAAAAGAGAACAAAAAUACUGUUGGAGAACAAAUACCACGGACAACAUUUUAAGCACAACAAAGAUAUUUUUCUUUAUUUUCUGUCCAAGACCUACCAAGAUGGGCGGGCUGCUCGGCCCAUAACGAUAUAAACUAGAUCGAACCGCUAGGAAUUAUCAUAACUAAAUUCUACAAAUUUUCACUUUUAACUUAUUUUCUUCUGCUAAUAAAGCCUAAGUUGAUAAAUAAAACUAUUACCAAAACCAAAAUACACAAUUCAAGAUUUGAUUUUUAUAAAUUACUAGUAUUAUACCUUAGGGAAGAAAAUUACUAGUGCUACAAACUAUAAAAGGAUUGUAUUAGGCUUUUCUGGUUUUUAAGCGUUUUGCCACUACUACUAUUAGUUCUAGCAGUGAGCUGUACCUUUAGGCCUGGUCACAACUAUGGAUUUUGAUGAAGAUGAAGAGGAGAUGGCUGACCUGUCAAACUCCUCUUUAUCUUCAUGGAAUGCCUUGCUUAGUACGUCUUGGAGUUCCAUGUAUCUCUGCCUUUUAACCACUCGUUCCUCCGCGGUAUCAUUCCCUCCGCAAGCUAGCUGCGAUAGGUCGUCCGCGUCCAUGAUCUUGCUCAACACUUCGGAGCAACGAGGAAAAAAUCGCUUCCCGAGUUCCACUGCCGGAGAUAACACAGAAAAAGAGGGUUAGCUUCAAUUUUGCUUAUCGAAAAGAUUGAUUUUUUCUAAAUCAUAUUAAUGCAAAUGAUAUUAACGUGCGGCAAAUAUUCAGACAUAAAUAUAAAAAUAUAAUCUUCCAUGAUAAAACAUAUAAAAAGUAGAGCAGCAAUACUCAGCUAUUUAUACAUCCGCUUAUAUCAUCUAGAUGGAAGCCUCUUGUAUUAAGAAUUGGAUUGUAUUUUAUCUCUUUUACUUAGAAAAUAAAUAAAUUAAAAUAGAUAUUUAAAUAUUAAUAUUUGUGUCCACUCCAAAUCUAUUAUAAAUAAUAAUUAAAAUAUUUAAAUCUAAAUAGUAUCAAUGGUAUCCAAAUUCAAAUUUCACGAUCCCAACCAUCAUUAUGAUCCUAGUGACAUUUAAGAGGGCAGCAUGAAAUGUUAGUGAAAAAGCAGUACCUGUUCUGGAAAGUGCUUUGAGUCUAUUUAAAUGCUCCUCUUGAAUCCUGAAAGGUGCCUCAUUCAAGUCCACUGUUGUUUGAGCACCAUUUAAUUUAUUGGAAUUGAUGGUAGCAAAUGUGAACUCCGAUGUUCCAUCCACUUGAGCUAUAUCCAUCACAACUUUAGCUUCCAUUGGGAAUAAAAGUUUCGCUAGCCCAACUGCAAAAGUUACACAAAUAAUAACACAACCUAGUAAGCUAUGUUCUUUGGAUUCUUCAUUUUUUCAAGAACAUUCGUGUCCGACAUCCGUGUUUAACAUAUGCAAGACAUGGGUAUAUAUCAGACUACAUGGAAAUGAAGAGUUGGAGCAAAAAAUUUACCUCUAUUUUCGAGAUACAACAACUUCAUCCGAAGAUCAUCACCAGCGAUGGCAAGAGACAAAGAAGCUUCACCAUGCAAUGGAUCUCUUCUUUCAGCUUGCUCUAGUAUCUCUAUACACAACCUGUCCUUCGGCGAAGCCUUACCUUCCUCGGUCGAUUUAUAGUAAUCGGCAGCCCGGGUGAGCCGCUUCGAUAUUUGAAGAGCUUUUCUACCAUCGAUAGUGAGAUCGGAUGGUCGUGCACCUUUCGUUAAAAGAGAAACUAUAAUCUUAGGCUCUUUCCUCAUCGCGGCAACAUGCAACACUGUGUACCCUCUCGAGUUCCUAUGGUUAACAUCAGCGAGUCCAAGGUCGAGCAACUCAGUCGUGGUCUUUGCGUCACAGUAUGCCACAGCGUAGUGAAGCGCAUAUGCUUCGUCUAAAUUCGUAUGACCCUCUUUCAGUAGCAUUCGAACUAACUCGACGUCAUCCGAUUCCAGCGCCCGAUGAAUCCGCCGCACAUGUUUAUCGGGAAAACCUACGUUCUCGGGCUUGUCUAAACUGAGUUCCAGACGGGAAUCAAUGAUUUGUUUCACAAUGGGUUGAGGCAAGGCUUUGUCGAGUGUUACAAUAUCAACAUCGGAUUUCACAACGAUUUCUACACACUUUGACACCAAUUUUUCACAAACAUUGCCGCACAUAUUUGCAAUGUAAAGAACCACCAAGAUAUCAUCUACGGCGACCCAGUCGAUGAUGUCCAGUAGAUGUCUCUGUAAAUUAAAAAACAGAACAUAAAUUCUGAAAACUUACAAUACUCUGUUCUGUUUUUCUAAUUGCUUUUUUGAUUCCUCGUCAAAUCACAAAAAAGGAAGAAAGGACUAAAUUAUACUACCAUUAGUUCACACAUUUAUCUCUGAAUUCCCAUAUUUUUUUAGUACUCAUAUUUAGCAAUCAUAAUCCAAGUAACGUAGCUUAAAUCAUACAAUUUUGUUAUUAAGAGACUCUGAUUUUUUAGUUAUUCAAAUAUGUUACUAAAACUCAAUAGUAAAUAUUAAAUAUGAAUAUGUGUUGGAGUAUAUUCAAUUUUUUUUUCUAUUCACAGAAAUGCCUAUGAAUGCUCAAUUUACAAAUAAUUUUUUAUAUCUGAAAAUCAACAAAACUUGCUAAUGUUUAACAGUGAUUAGUUAUUAGAACGAUUAUCUAAUUUCUCCGAAAUUGGAAAUUCAUACAAUAAAUAAUCAAUUUAAACAUGAUUAAGAUUCAAGGGGGAAAAAAUAAGCUAAAAUUUGUUGCAAUUUACUGACCUGAUAAAGAGCAAUUAAUUCAGGGACCUGAAAAACGAACGCUGCAUAUAAAACUUCAGCAAUGAAAUCAACGGCCGGUCUACAUCCAACGUGCGAACAACCAUCGUCUACGCAAAGGCAAACGCCUUUAGGCAACGAUUUAACUUUUCCGGUAUACAAGUAAGCCAGAACGGCAACAAGCGAAUCAUAGCCGAUCUCAUAGUCUCUAGCCAACUCUUUGAGCUCAAACUUAGCUCCACUAUCUUUCAGCCCGGAGAACACGGUCUUAAACACCGAACUCCUCGCUGACAAAAUGCACCGGUGAACGGCCACCUCCCGACCGGAAGAUAGCGCGAUUUUUGCGUCGGAGUAAAAGUAAUCGGAAUCCGUCGAUUCGUAAAGGGACUCGAGGUUCUUGGAGAGGAGUUGAAGAGCGGCGACGUCCGGAGUGUUCAACGGUUCCGACGAAACAAGUGUUUCGGAGGUGGUUGUCGCAGCGGCGGGGACGAUACAGCACGUGGUGCUGUUGUUGUUACUGAUUUCGUUCGAAUCCGAAAAUCCAUUUCUAUGAUCCAUAGAAAAACAAAAAAAGAAACUAUUUGAAACUCAAAGCUACUUGUUUAGGUACCUGAAGAAGAAAGCAACGAUUCGCCAUGGAAAUUCUGAGAGGAAAUAAAAAGUCAAAGGAGAGAGAUUAAAGAAGAAGAGUUUAGCCAUUGAUGAGCUAGCAUCAGCUAGGAGAAGAAGAACAUGGCGUGACGAAGAACUUAAAAAUUAAAAAUUAAUAAAAAUAAAAAUUGUUAGAUACUCUUUUAUUGAAUCUAGGUUAAAUUCUUCUAUUAGUCCCUGUACUUCUCAAAAGUUAUCGAUUUAAUCACUGCACUUUAAUUUGAACAUUUUGGUCCCUUUACUUUUCAAAUUUCAAAAAUUCAAUCAUCAUCAUUGUUAAACUGAUUAAGUUAAUUUCUAUUAUUUUCAAAAUCUAAUGCGUCAACCACAUUAUUAUAUAUGUAAUGACUAGAGGUAAUCAUGAACCCAGCCCGGCCCAUUUUUUUAAUAAACAUCAAAAAUUUAUUUUAAAAAUAAAAAAUUUAUUUCAAAAAUAUUUUAAAAUUAAAAAAAUAAAAAAUAUAUUUAUUAUAUUCGGGCUGGGACGGGCUGGGCCAAAAAAGUGGUGCUCGAGGCCCGGCCUGUUUUCUAAACGGGCCUCAUUUUUUUGCCCAAACCCAUAUUUCAGGCCUAUAUUUUUAUUCGAACCCUCCCAUAUUUCGGGAGGGCCGUCGGGCCAGGCCGGGUCGCCCGGCCCAUGAUCACCUCUAGUAAUGACAUAUCAACUAGUAAUUGCGUUUAAAAUGGAUCUAAUUGCUAUUGAUUGGGUCAGGAUUAAAUUGAAAAUUUUAAAAAAUUAUAUGGACUAAAAUUGACAAAUUUUGAACGUAUGGAGGCUAAUUGCGAUCAAAUUGAAGUAUAAAGACUAAAUAGACUACUUUCAAAAAGUAUAGUGACUAAUAGAAGAAUUUAACCUUAGAUGUAUUAUAAUAUUUUCCAUUUUUUACAUGUUUUAAGAUUGCUCUUUAUUUUAAUAUAGAUUCAUGUGUUUUUCCCCGGCUUUUCGUCCGUACAUUAGGGCCACCUGUUUUGCCUUUUUUCUCAGGUUGCCUUUAUGAAUCUGGGAUUUGACGGCCCUGAUUUAGUUUUAGACUCAAAGUGGGAUAAUCAAUCAAGACCAGAAAGAAAAUUAAAUGUUCAAAUAUGUACCAAGUCCCUGUACUUUUUCUGAAUUCGGAAUUUAGUCCUUUAACUUUUCAAAUUUCAAAAUAUAAGUCCAAGUGUUAGUACCGUUAAAAUCUUUAUAUUAAAAUUACAGGUGUGACAUUUUGAAAUAAUAUGCAUUAGGUUCAAAAUUUACUCAAUCAAGUAUUAUAUUAUUCAAAUUCAACUUACUUUAUAGCUCAAGCUCAAUUUAAUAAUGAUUGAGUCGAGUUUAAACUUUUUUAAAAGAAAUUACAAAUUACGUGUACAAUUGUUCAAAUAUUCACUUACCAAUAUAGAUCAUUUUACCCUUGUAUUAAGAGUCAAAUUAUAUUUUGCCCCAUCUACUCAAAACAUGGGUAAAUUAGUCAUUAUACUUUAGAUGAAAAAGUAAACUGGUCUUUUUUGUUAAAACUUUCAUCAAUUGUUAAAAACUGGCAGUUACGAGUGGCGUGCCAUGUAUACCUCAUUUUGAUGUACAUGGACUAAUUUUUAACAGUAUAAAUAGAUAGGACAUUUAACAGAAUAAUCAGUAUGCUCUUUGAUCUAACAUAUAGAGACUAAUUUACUCAUUUUUUAGUAAAGGGAGCAAAAUACAAUCUAACACUUAAUACAAUAACUUCUAUAAUACUUUUACCACUAAAAUCAUUUUCAAGGAUAGGGCGGCUAAAAUGCGGCAAAAGUGCAAGGCUGAAAGCUUAACGUCAGUAACGGCAGUUAUCAAAGUUCCGUCACUGUUUUCUUUUUAAUUCUGGAUUUCAAUACUAUUUUAUAAAAAUUAAUCCAUUUGUUUUAAUUUGUAAUAAUUUAAUCCUCGUACAUCACAAAAAGCUAAUAAAUUAGUCUAAUUAUAGGUAAACACGUAAAUUUUACCUGCUUAUAUCUGUUAACUUGUUGAAGCAUAUAAAUGGCUCAACCACUUUUUUUUUUUAAUUCGUUACAUAUAAAUUUACCAACAAUGUUUAAUAAUUUUUACUUAAUUGGACUAAUUUCUCAAAUUUCAUAAAGUAAGAAGAACAAAUUUUGAUGGAAUUAAAGUAAAAGGACUAAUUCCUUAAUUUUUAUAAAGUAAAGGGAUGAAAUUUAGAAUUAGACUUUUUAAUUUGUAAUAUGUUUUCUUUGAGAUAUUUAUAUAGAUGGAUUUUUUUAUUACUAUCUAUUAGUUGUGCUUUAAUUUUUUAAAGUUCUUAUCCACUCCAACAUGGAUUUGCUUCCAAUCUAAAGUCAUCAAAACUUUGUUUGUUUCCAAUCAUUAUCGUUCAAUUUAUUUGGUCAAAUUCUUUUUUGGUGGCUCUAUUAUGCUCAAAUUUGAAAUCUAGCCCUUGUAUUUUAAUUGGGACAAUAUACUUUUCAGUUCUUGAAUUUGGCAACUAGUCUUACUUUGGUACUUGUACUUUUUUUUUAUCCACUUUUGGCACAUGAACUUGACAACUAGGUCCAUUUUAGUCUCUGAACUUGAAAAAUAUAAAAGUUUGAUGAUGUGGUACCCUGAUAUUGCACCAUAUCGUUACCUGAAAAUUUAUAAAUUUAAUAAUUGAUCCAAUGGUUGAAUAGAUCCGCCCAUCAAUUUUCAAUUCAACCAAUUCACUUUAUUCGACCAUUAGACCAACAAAUGAUAAAAAAAAUCAUAAAAAGCUAGAAAGCUAAAUUUAGAAAAAAAAUAAAUAAACUGGUUCAGCCGGUUCAAACCAUCGUCUAGGUUUUCAAUCUUUACCAAUUUCAAGUAAUUUUUUAUUCAAUUGGUUCAAGCCUUUUGCUUGAACUAUUAUAUUGAUAUGUUCUUGAUUUGUUCGAUCCAGUCUUGUUUCAGUAACAUUGGUCACAAUAUCAAAUCUUGACAUAAUCCACGUUUAAAGACUAAAAUGGAUCUGGUUGCCAAGUUCAAGGACCCAAAUAGACCAAAAAAAUUACAAAUACCAAAGUAAACCUAGUUGCCAAGUUCAGGGACAAUAGUUAUAUUAUCCCAUUUUAACUUGAUAUACUUUAUCAUUUAUUUAAUCAUAUCAUUAAUACAAACACAUGUUUAAAUUUCAAUUACAUGUUCUAAAUAUGUUUUAUGUCAAUAUCAAGCUAGCAUUUCACACCUAAGAUGACAGGUAGAAUGAUGGAAGGAUCUAGUUGAGACGAUACUGAUAUUUUGAGGAUUCAAUUAGAAUGUUUAAAAUUUUGAGAUCAGUUUAAAACAUAUGACAUCAUUUAAAGACUCUGAUGAAAUUAACCCAUUUCGUUUCGUAGUUUUAUAUUGAUAAACAAAUACGUAUGGAGGGUCAUUGGGGCUCUUUGUGCACAAAAAGAAGCCCACAUGGCAAAGCUAGACCAAGGUUGGAUAACGAAAACAAAAAAUUUAAGGAUGGGUGUUAAAAUUUUAAAUCAAAUUAAAAUUAAGAUAUGGGUAGAGGUAUUUAUGGGUCGAGUUUAAGUAUAAUAUUAGUAAAUUUUAUAUUUGUUCAAGCCUUGUUUGGUCCGACCCAAAAUACAUUUUUAAAUUUUUGCUCAAAUUUGUUCAUACUAACUCUUAUAUAUUUUUAUUUUUGAAGAGUCUCAUUACAAGUUCUAAUUAUAUCUACUCCUUUUGACACAAUGCCUAAAACUAAGCAUAACCCCUCCCCAAUUCAUAAAUAAGAAGAUAAUAUGCUUCAGCGUAUUCAAACUCACGUUCUCCUGCAUUUGCAACAAUGCCCAUACUAAUCAAGCUAAGACUCAAUCAACUUAUUUAUUAAAAUUUGUAUAUAAUUAUCUUAAAUUUUUUAUAUUUACAUUAUAGUAAUAUAUAAUAUUACUAUAGAUGUAAUUUUUAAAUGUUAAAAAUUACAUAAUAUAUAAAAAUAACAUAAUAUAAAAUAUUAUAAAUUUUAAAAAUGACCGAACCAAAUUAGAUUCGGGCUUUGAAUGAGUCCGACUCAUAUUUUAAAUGGGUUUAUUUUUUUGUUUAAACUCAUUUUUAAUAUCUAAUAUUUUUUUUUCAAUCCUUUUAAAUUUUAAAUAAACCUUUAAAUCUGAUAAAUCGAAUAUAAAAAAAUAAAGUCACGCAAAAAAAAAUCUUCCGCUGUGACAUCAGCUAUGAAAAACUCUAUCUAGCACUUAUAUUAAAAGGCGAUAUCGAAGACAGUGGAACAUUCUUAAUAUGGCCCCGUUGGUAUGAUUUAAUCAUCCAACAUUUACACAUGUUGUUUGCUUAUUUAUGAAGAAAACCAACCCAACUAAUUAAUAAUUUUUAUCAAACAUCUUUUUAGGUAAUAAUAUAAAGAUAUAUCUCUUUAAAUACGGGUAAUUUACUAAAAAAAACUUUUUUUUUAAAUUACCGAAAUAGAUUUAGUAUUUUAUUAUUUACCGGAAUGGACAUUUUUCGCCAAAUCGCGUCCACGUCAGCACGAUGUCAGGGGACGUGCCAGGAAAUCGCGUCCACGAGGGGGCGAUUUGUUGCCACAUCAACAAAGCGCGCUAACGUGGACGCGAUUUCCCCCCUCCCAACGGUCCAAAAAAAUAUAAAUACCCCCCACCCUUUGUUUUUCACAAACUAAUCCUCUCUCAAAUUUUCUCUCAAUUUUGGUGUUGAGAGGAAGCAUUGCAAAUAAUUAAAUAAGAUAUUUCGAAAGAAUGUGGAAAGGAAGACUAAAGCAUAUUAACGAUAAAGUUAAAAAAAAUAAAUUGAGAGAAAUUUUAAAAAGAAUUAGAGUCAAAAUUUUAAAGGGUGAAAAAGUUCUUUCAGAAUUAUUCAUAGUGAUUUAAAAAUAAGAAUUACAAAAUUAUUAAUUAAUAAAAAUAAUGAAAUAAAUUUUAAUUAUAAUGACAUUAAUGAUUAAAAACGGACGAUAAAAAUUUUCUAUUAGUGAUGGUUAAUAGCAAAAAGGAAUUCUUUUUAAGGAAAAGAAAAAAGAAAAAGAAAAGCAUUCAAACAAUAGGUAAAAAGAUCAACAAGAAUGUACAAAUUGAACGAACUUCCGAUUAUUGACCUGAUCAUGGCUUGGGUUGUCUAGCUUGAGUCGAAGGUCCGCCCGAAAAAUAGUAGGAUUUGAAUAAAAAUAUAAAUUCGAAAAAUGUGUUUGAAUAAAAAAUGAUUCUCGUUUUCUAAACGGAUCGAGCCUCGGGUAAAAGUUUUUGGCUAGGGCCCGAUCCAAAUAAAUUAAUUAUUUCUUAAUAAAAAUUAUAUUGUUGUUCCUAGUGUUUUGGUGCUGUUAUUUUUCUGUUGUUUUUUGUUGUUAUUUUUGCUAUUGUUUUUGUUAUUUGCACUGGCCAAUUUACCAAUAAAAAGCUUAAUUUUUUUAUAAAUUUACCGAAAUGGGCCCUGUAUUUUAUUAUUUACCAGAAUGGGCCAUUUUCCGACAAAUCGCGUCCACGUCAGCGUGAUGUCAGGAGACGUGUCAGGAAAUCGCGGCCACGUCAGCGCCCUUUGCUGACGAAGCAUAUAUGUUUGACUAAAAAAAAUAUAAAAAACUCAAAUUAUCAAGUGAACUAAGCUCGGUAUAUCACUACUUAAUCUGUGCAACUCAGAACUCUAAUCAAGUUUUUUUAAUUUAUAAAUGUAUUUUUAAUAUGUUGAUAUUAAUCGAAUUUGAACUAAGCUUCGAAUAAAACAUUUCAAAAUGAACUUCUCAUCUCGACUUGAUUACAACCUUACCUUAAUCGCAUUUUUUUUUCAAAUAUAUCUAUGUUAUGAGUUUGUUUUUCUUGACCAAACUAAGUCGCGUUGCAAAAACUCACAAACAUUUGAAUUUUAUUUUCGUCAAACAAGUUCAUUUAAUAAAAAAAAAGUUUAAUUGAGUGAAUAAUAAUAAUUGGUGGAUUAUAAAAAGUCAACUUGCCAUGUUCGUUGAAAAAUGAGCGGCAAGUGGGAACACAAAACACUGGUCAACUAAGUCAGCUCUCAUUUAAAAAACAAUAAUAAUAAGGGUAAACUACACCCAUGGUCACUUUUGUUUACCUUAGGUUACGUUUUAGUCACUUAUGUUUGAAAUGUUACGUUUUAGUCAUUUACGUUAUCAUGUUGUAACAUUUUAGCCACUGAGCCAUUAAUCGUCGUUAAUGGUGUAACGGUAAGCUGACAUGGCACGUUAAAUCAUCAUUUCAAACAAAAUUUUAGGUUAAAUUAUACAAUUGAUCCCCAUAUUUUUUUUUGUUUUAAGUAAUUUAAUUUUUUUUCUUUUAUGUUCUUUAAACUUUCCUCUUUUUUUCCAUUCUCUUUUGUUUCUCCCUCUGUUUUCAUACCUUUCCCAUUUCUUUUAACAUAUUAGGAAGUCGAAUUGGCAAUGAACAAAAAAGUAGGAAGUCGACUGUCAUCAUUUGCCUAUAACCAAAACCCAUAAACCCAUACCAUGCUUCUUUUUUCACUACCAAUUCGACUUCCUGGUAUGUUAAAAGAAAUAAAGAAGGUAGAAAAAUAGAGGGAUAAGUAGAAGAGAAUGAAAAAAGAAAGAAAGAAAGAAAGUUAAAAGAACAUAAAAGAAUUAAAUUGCUCAAAAUGAAAAAUUAUGGGGACCAAUUGUAUAAUUUAACUUAAAGUUUUUGUUUGAAAUGAUGAUUUAACGUGCCAUGCCAGCUUACCAUUACACCAUUAACGACAAUUAACGGCUCAGUGACUAAAAUGUUACAACACGAUAACGUAAGUGACUAAAAUGUAACAUUUCAAACAUAAGUAACUGAAAUGUAACCUACGGUAAACAAAAGUGACCAUGGGUGUAGUUUACCCUAAUAAUAAUAAUUUAAGUACGCAAAUUUUUUAAACAGAAUAGAAAAUAUUUAAUUAAUUAGUUCUAUUAAUUACAAUUUAGAUAACGACUUCCAAUUUAUUUUAUAGUUUCUUUUUUCAAAAAUGUAUGUGAUGUGUUUCAAUUUUCAACUCUUUAUUACAAAAUUAACAUGAAUUAAUUAAACUAGUGCGAACUCAAGAUACUGGUCAAUCAAGUCAACAAUUUAUUUUAAAAAUAAUAAUAAAUUACUAAUAAUCAUUAAGUUUUGCAUGUGUAUUUUUUAUAUUCUAUUAAAAUGGUUUUAAAUUUUAAUUAUACUAAUUAAUCUAUAUAAUUUUUCGGAUAUCAUUUAUUUAAAAAAAACUAUAUGACAUUGAAUAUCAGGUUGAAAAAAUAUGUUGUCCGUAUUUUCUUGGACUUGUAAUUAAAGUCAACUAUAUUUGUCACCGACCCCUUUUUCUGUUAAAAAAAAGAGAGAAGUUUUAGAAUUAUAGCUUUUGUUAUAAUUAUAGUAUAAUCAUAAUUAAAUUGUAAUUUAAACCAAAAUAAUUAUAAAAAUAAAAUAUCAUGGAAGUCAUUGUGUUAAGAGUCAAUUUGUAUUUUGUCUCAUUUAUUUAAAAAAUAAUUAAAUUAAUCCCUGUACAAAAUAGAUGAAUUUUUUAGUAGAACGAUCAGAUUAUUCUUUGAUCAAAUGUGCAUUGAUUAAUUUGUCUAUUUUUAAUUAAAAAAAGAUCAAAUACAAUCUGAAUCUUAAUACAAUAACUUCCAUAAUAAUUUUAUUACGGAUAACUAAUACACAAAUGAAAUUCAAGCCUAAAUUAUUAUUGAUAUUUAGAUUGGUUUUAUGGUCCGAAUUAUUAUUAUAUAUACAUAAUUUAUUUGUGGGUAAACUACUAAAAUAGUCACUUUUGUUUAGUUCAUGUUACAUUUUAGUCACUUAUGUUUGAAAUGUUACGUUUUAGUCACUUAUGUUAUCAUGUUGUAAUAUUUUAGUCACUGAGCCGUUAGUUUCUGUUAACGGUGUAACAAUAAGCUGAUGUGGCACGUUAAAUCAUCAUUUCAAACAAAAAUUCUAGGUUAAUUUAUACAAUCGGUCCUCAUAUUUUUUCGUUUGGAGCAAUUUAAUUUUUUUCUUUUAUGUUUUUUUAACUUUCUUUCUUUUCCAUUCUCUUAUGUUUCUCCCUUUGUUUUCCUCCUUUCUCCAUUUCUUUCAACGUAGUUUUCCUAAGUUUUAUUUUUUUGAACAAUUUAAUUUUUUCGAGUGAGGCGAGCUUGUGGACUAGUUACAAAUGGAAAACAUAAAAAAACUAUGUUAAAAGAAAUGAACAAGGGAGGAAACUAGAGGGAGAAGCAGAAAAGAAUGGAAAAAAAAGUUAAAAGAACUUAAAAUAAAAUUUUAAAAUUGUUUAAAAUAAAAAAAUAUAGGGAUCAAUUGUAGAAUUUAACCUAAAAUUUUUGUUUGAAAUUAUAAUUUAACAUGCCACAUCAGCUUACCGUUACACUAUUGUUGGCAAUUAACGACUCAGUGACUAAAAUGUUACAACAUGAUAACGUAAGUGACUAAAACGUAACAUUUCAAACAUAAGUGACUAAUAUGUAACCUAAGUCAAACAAAAGUGACUAUUUUAGUAGUUUACCCUUUAUUUUUAAACAUAUAUUAUUUAAAUUGUUAAAUAAUAAUCCGAACUAUAAAUCAAUUUAAAUUAUGCAACAUAUGAUGUAAGAGUUAAGACCAGAUUCAGACUCAUACAUAGUUUGUUUGCAGUUGCCCUUUUCGGUAAUUUUGCAUUGCCUUCUUUCCCAUUUUAACGAACCUUCUUACCAACUUUUCCUUUUGCCGACAUGUCCCUCCCACAGAUUUCUUUGGCAACCAACGACCACUCUCCAUCUAAAACAAUUUACAUAUGUACUCAGAAUCAAUUUUAAUUUUUAAAUCAAACUAAAAUAAUAAAAUAAAAUUCAUCCACUCUAAUAAUUUAAAUUAAAUUUUACUCUAAACUAAAGGGUUAAUUUUUUUUAAAUUUAUUUUAAUUGAUUAUUAAUACGUAUAAAAAUUAAAAUUUAAUUAUAUUGGGACCAAGAUAAUAUCUAAAUAAAAUACACUUAACAAUAAUGACUUUAAAAUUUUUAUUCAUAAAAUCUAUUACCAUUUCUUCCCAUUAUCUAUGGGUUGAUAUUGAAUCAAAAUUAACAUUGAAAACCAUAUUUAAUAUUUAUUUAAUAUCGAAAUUAUAUUUAAAUUGAUUUAAUUUUGGAUCCACCAUUUGUAUUCCAAACCGAGUGGUGUAAUUUCUUUUUAAUAACAAAUUAUUUUAAAAAUCAUGCGAAAACAGAUAAGUCAAGUCAAUGUCAAAUCUAAUCGCUUAUUGUACCGCGUUCACACCGUCGCUCCAACACGCGCUUCCUUAGACGCAUCUCCAACCGCGUUGGCUACCAUACGUAUAUAUAUAAAUCCCUGCGUUCCCAUCUUCAAUUUCAAUUCAUCUUUGCGUUCAUAUUUCGUCAAACCAAAAAUCAAACCCCAUAAAUUAUUUCAUGGAAAUUGGGUCUUCCCCACUCUUUUCAGCUGAAGUUCUUGCUUAUACCAACACCGGCAUCAUCACCGGCACCGGCGGAGGAGACGGCGACAAGUUUUAUUGGUUUCAGGAUAUGGAAGAUGGCAGGAAAAGAAACAACGAGUUUAUGGAUUUACAUUCUUCGAUUUCGUUAUUCGAUGAUGAAAUGAAGCACGAGCAACUUCAAUGGUUUACUGAUUCUGAUCAAGGAAGAGGAGCUGUUUUUGAAUCGAAUUACAGUGAAACGAAUGAUUAUUUCGAUCAAAUUCAAAGUCAUUACACUGAAAUCGAUGAAUUUGAUGAUUCACGGAAGAAACGAGCGCGAAAAUCAAGUUCACCGGUAUCUGUUCCGGCGACGGAGGAUUCAGGUCCAUCGCAAUCAGGCGGUACAGGACGGCGGUUAUGGGUGAAAGACAGAUCUAAAGACUGGUGGGAGAAGUGCAACCACCCGGAUUUUCCCGACGAGGAAUUCAAACGCGCGUUUCGAAUGAGCAAAUCGACGUUCGAUAUGAUUUGUAAAGAGCUUGAAUCAACGGUGAUGAAAAAGAACACGACGCUCCGCGAUGCGAUCCCGGUUCGUCAACGCGUUGCGGUCUGCAUUUGGCGUUUAGCCACCGGUGAACCGCUCCGAAUGGUAUCAAAACGGUUCGGUUUAGGAAUUUCAACUUGCCAUAAGCUAGUUUUAGAGGUUUGUGCCGCCAUUAAAACUGUUUUAAUGCCUAAAUAUGUCCAAUGGCCCGAUGAAAACAAAUUAACCAAAACCAAAUCGGAGUUCGAAUCCGUCACCGGAAUCCCAAACGUCGCCGGCGCGAUCUACACCACUCACGUCCCGAUCAUCGCUCCAAAAUCCAACGCCGCCGCGUAUUUAAAUAAGAAACAAUCGGAGAAAACCCAAAAACAAUCGUAUUCCAUCACACUCCAAGGUAUCGUAGACCCAACCGGCGUUUUCACUGACGUUUCAAUUGGUUGGCCUGGUUCAAUGUCCAACGAACAAAUCUUCGAGAAAUCGGCGUUUCAUCAAAGCGCCGUUAAAGGCCAAGUAAAAGGUGUUUGGGUAGUCGGAAGUAAAGGGUAUCCAUUAAUGGAUUGGGUUUUAGUCCCUUACGCUCAUCAAAAUCUAACUUGGACUCAACACGCAUUCAAUGAGAAGAUCGAAGAGAUUGAAAAAAUGGGUAAAGAAGCAUUUGCGAGACUGAAAGGAAGAUGGUCGUGUUUGCAGAAAAGGGCUGAAGUUAAGCUACAAGAAUUGCCGGCUGUGCUCGGCGCUUGCUGUGUUUUGCAUAAUAUUUGUGAGCUUCGAAAUGAAGAAAUGGAACCCGAGCUUAAAAUUGAAGUUUCCGAUGAUGAAGUCGUGCCGGAGAAUAAUUUGAGAUCCAUGGUUGCCGUUCAAGCUAGGGAUUAUAUUGCUCAUAAUUUGCUUCACCAUGGCCUUGCCGGUACCGGUUUUCUAUAGUGAUUUCAUUAUAUUAUCCUUGGUUAAAAAAUUUUGUAUUGUUUUUAGUGUAAAGCCCAAUAAUAAUAGGUAGAUAGGUAGAUUUUGAUUGUAUUUUUUGGGGGGUAUGGAAUAAAAAAUUUUAUUCGACUUUUUAGUUAAAUAUUUUUUUUUGACUUUUUUAAUAAAUAAAUUUAAAUUUUGUGGAUUAAAAAAAUAUUGGAAGAACUAAUUUAUUUUCAAAUUAUGUUACAUAAAACGAACCAAUUGACCACUUUCAAUUUAAUAGUUUAUGUUUUGUUGAUUGUAUUGAUAUUUUCUUUAUCAUAAAAAAAUCAUCAAACAAGAUAUUCUCUUCUUCAUUUGACUUGUUAUGAUG